UCAAGUGAGAGGUGAGACAAAGUCCAUUGCAACUUUGAUGCAUGACUGGAUAAAGGAAAAAUGAUCUAAUUAUGAAGUGUAAAUGUACACAGAAGCUUAUUUGAAAGUUAUUAAAGUACUUCCACAGUUCCACCGCAAUACAUCCACUAAAUGAGUAGUAGGUAGCAUCAGCACUUGUGCCAUAUAGAUUUAUAGUGGUGAGCUGCAUCUUAAGGUGAUGUAAAAAAAGAAAAAAACCAAUCUUUACUCGGUUAGUUAGCUUUCAGUAGGCAUAAGCAUACAAUGAUAGUCANNNNNNNNNNNNNNNNNNNNAAAAAAAAANAAAAAAAAAAAAAAAACCCUAAAAAUCUUAUACACUUGAGCAUUCUAAACAAGGAAUAGUUACUGCAGAAGUUACAUCUUUCUUAUCACAAAAAAAGAUUUUCUUAUUACAAUUGUUUUUUAACUUUUACUGGAAAACUGGAUACAGUUUUGACCCUUAAUUCCAUCAAUUAUGUAAGACAUCCAUAGCCGAUUGUUUAAUCAUAGGCCUAAUGACCUUAAUUCCAGAAAUCCACUAAAUAUAUUGAAUACCCCAAUCAAUAGUGAUGCUGGUGCAUAGAACUGUCAACACCCAAAAUUUAUGAAGCUAUCCUGGGACAUAGCCAUGAUAGAGACCAUAAACAUGAACAAUGAUUGCCUUGAAUGGUUGAUUUUAGGUAGUUUAGGACAAUUAGCAACCACAUAACCAAAAUUUGUAGCAGAUAUCUUUGUAUUCAUUCAACUAUAACAUUGUUUUGUUUCAAGAACAUUAUUAUUAUUUUUUUUAAAGAAACAAUUUAUUGAGACAAAAGCAAAGAACAAGAAGGUGGACACAUGAUUGCAGAUGCUUUGGCUAAAAACAGUGUGCUUCAUGAAUUAAGCCUGAUUGUUUUUGACAAUCCUCCAGCCUAUGCUGCUCAAUCAUUUCUUGAUGAUCUUGCUGCUGUAACAAGAGCUAGGAGAGUCUCCUGCUCUAGUAGUUAGUUUUCUUGUUUUCUUUGGUUAGGCCUUUUAGGCCUCGCUUGUAACCAAAAAAAAAAAGAAACAAGAAGGCGGACAAGGAGUCCAUUGGUUCAAUAACAUUAGCUCAAAGAUCAAGUGAAUGGUGUGACACUAUCCCAGGAAAGAUUCUUUACACCAAUUGACAAUAAAAAUCAACCUAAAACCCAAAAAUAAAGAAAAUUAAACAAUUUGAUACUUAUCAAGUUACCUUCAAGUUCCUGACUUGAUGCAGACAUCCUGCAGGAAAAAAGACAGCAUUCCCAAGUUUUUGAAUGAAGGUCCACGGCACAUCCUAUUUACUGUAUCAAAAGAUUAGAUAUAUAGUUGAAUUCAGAUGAAUUCUAAAUUUGAAACUGAUUACACAAAAAGAUUGAUUGAGAAUAGGAAUAGAAUAUCUUAAGUCAGGAUUUUAUGAUUUCUUUCUUAUUUUGGAUUUGUUUUGUUAUUAGGGAAUCUUUAAAGUUCCAGAAUAUUAGGGUUACUUGAUCCUAAUUGAUCUAGGGUUUUAAUGUCUCUAUACAUAGAGGUCUUUUGUAGUCUUUUGUUUUCAGAGUUGAAUUAAUAAAAAAAAGUUUGAGAGCUUUGCUUCCUUUCCAGGUUUGUGUGAUGCAACCUAAUCUUAGGUGUGAUGCCUAAGAUCUCUAGGUGUGAUGCCUAGAAACCUACUGGUGUGAUGCUAGUAGACCUAUCCCUUUCUUAAUUCUGUUCUUUAUAGUUGAAUUCAGAUGAAUUCUAAAUUUGAAACGGAUUUCACGAGAAGAUGUAGCAAGCGAACCAUAUUUCUCUUUAAGCUUCUUUUUGUGCUCCACUGUAAGAUAAAAUGUCCGAUUGUGUAUGGGAUGGAUAACCUAUAUACCACCAUAGAAAAAGUUAAAGAUUAUCUUUCAAAAUAAAAUAUGUGUACACAGAAAAAGAAGGAUAUCAAGGGAAGGAGAAUUUGGCACUCCACUUUUAACUUCAUAGAAGUAGAGUGCAAGUGAUAGUAAUAAUGUAAAAGUAAAAAACUAGUUACCCUGUUAUUUAUGUAUCAAUGCAAAAACUGGAUUGAUAAUGAGUUUACCUGCUGCAAUGGGCAACAGUGUAUGUGCCUGAAUUUCUUUGAAAUGCUUCAUGAGAUACUCCUGCAACUUAGGAAUAUCAUGUCGACGUAAUGUGUCCCAUAAAGCACCUCCUUCAGUGACAUCUGACACUUACAACUUAUUUCCAUAAUUUCUUGCAGGCAAUUCACCACUGAUAUCAAGAUCUAAUUCUGCCUCUUCAUUCUUUUCAGAUUAAGGUCCCAUUGAAGCAUCUCCAACAUGUGGAAUAAUUGGAUCAACUAGUAUUUACACACACAUUAACAUAAAUGUAUACAGUUUCCUUAUAGCAUGGACUUUGCAUAACUCACUGUGCUAUAAAUUAAAUGUAUUCUCGAACCAAUGUUGAUCUCCUGAUGCGUCUAACUAAUCGAUCAAAAAGAGGGAAGGAAAACCCUGAGAAUUUCCACCAGAGUUUACAUUCCUUUUCCAUGCUUCUACUUCUGCUUCUGCACGGCAUCAUUUAAACCUAAAUUUUUAUCAUAUCCCAAGAUCAAAUGAUGGAGCACUGUCAAGGGUAGGAUUUUCUGGGUUUAACUGAGGAAUCAUCUGUGGUUUCUGCACUGGCAAUUCUGAUUUCUGCUUAAGUAGCAUUGUAGCUUGUGCUUCCAAUGCGUCAAGAUCAAGGCCCUCAUAAAACUGAUCAUCAUAAAGCACGUCCUCAUCUGCAUUACUGUGCUGCAUAUAUCUGGCUUCAGCCUCUGCUUGCAACGAGAAUUCUAGCUCCAAGUUGACAACAGGAAUAGAUCUUGGAUGAUGAAAAUUCGAUUUUCUUUUUCGACUUUCACUAUCUCUUUCAUAUCCUGGAGAAAUACCAGUCGUACAAGGUCUGGCUUCAGAGUUCCAAUUCAUGUGGAAGGACUCUGAAUCUGGUCCAAUUGGCAGAUUUGUACAGUCAAUUUGAGGAGUCUGAAGUGAGGAAGAUGUUUUCCCACCAGAACUUCCAGUUUCCGGGGUCCUCGUUAUUGUUGCCACAGAAUUGGGUGAAAAUGUGGCUGAGCUGCGUGGCUGCCUCUCCAUGGGUGAUUGAGUGAGCAAUGAACGCCUGUAGAAAAGACACUAGUUAUAUUUCUUGACGUUUUAGAAAUAAAACGCCAGAGUUGGGAGCAAAUGCAUCAUCCAUGGGUAAUGUAAUAAUGAAGGUUACAGCAAUUAGAUGAGAAGUAGAAUGGCAAAGAAUUAUGAACAAACUGAAUCUAAGAAACCAAAUUGAUGGCACCCUUAAGGUAAAAUGUAUGAAGGAGAAGGGGCCUACUGUGCCAGGCCACCUUUACUCUCACUUCAUCGCAGAACUUGGAAAACGUUUUGCAACAAAUGCCAGCUUAACUAACCAAAGACAAGAAUCUACUUUAAUUGAACCCUGUAUCUCAACUGAAGUGAAGAGAGAGAGAGACCUGUAUACUGCCAUCAUGUCAAUUCCACUGGUUGCAGCCUGAGUAUUUGCAGUUGUACAAUUUAUCCUGUCAUCUAUGAAGCUAUCAUUUGAAUGGUAAUCUGUUUCAUCUACUUCAUCAUCAGAUAUAUCAACCUCUGAAGAUACCCUGAGCAAUUUGGUGAAAUAACAUAAUUUUAAAUAUUACUUUCACGAGAAGCUUCAUCUUAUUCGCAAAAUAAAAUUAUGCUUAUAAACCGAAAAUUAUGCAACUUCACAAAUUAAGUUUAACUGCAUGUUACAUAAUAUAGUAUACAAGUAUUCUCUUACUCAGCUUCCUCGUCUAUGAAUUCCCUCACAUCAUCAACUGACUUCUUUGCUAGUAUUUUGGAACCUAUAUUACAACAGAUAUCAUGUAUGAGUAAAUAGGUCACAUAAGCAUCAGGAUUUCAAAAGUAUAAAUGAUAAAGAAACAAUCCAUUGAAAAGACACAAUAAUCCAGAUGCAUCUCAACUAAUAUUCAAUAUACCUCUACGAUGCUUAGUAGGGAGAGUACUACUUGUAAAAGAUCUGGUAAGAUUUGCUCUUGGGACAUCAUUAGUUGCCAUGCUUUCCUGAUUCCUAAUGUUCCACUGAUCCCCAACUUUGCGCAACCUCUUAAACUUGCGUGCCUGUUUCACACUCUGUGACCUGUCUCCAGAACCUAUACACCAAUCUUUGCUACAGCUACUGUUUGUAAGGUCUGCUAGAACAUUUGGGCCUCUGUCAUUAACCGGUGAUAUGGAGGUAGAUUCAUUUAUACUGGCACUAUUCCUAUUGUGCAAGGGAGAUUGAAUUUCAUUAUCAGUGGGAAGAAGAGACGUAUUUCUUUCACAUGCAUUGGUAUCCAUGUCAGUGGCUUUUUCAUUGUCCCCAGGACUUGAAGAAUUCAAUACCAGUUCAGUAGGUAGUUGGGCAGGCGAAACAGCGUCAGGAACCACAUACUUAUUUAUGGUAUCCAUUAGUCCUGCAUCAUUUACAUGUAUGUCAAUACAGAUAAUACCAAGCUAAUGGGGAGAUUAUCUAAAUCUGAAUUGAGAUAAAAUCUUAUUAAUUGCAGGUAAGAAUACCAACCAUUAUUAUUGAUAGGAGAUUCUGGAACAAAUCCACUUUCGAUCAAAUUAGUAAGCCUCGGACUAAGCUCACCAUCUCUGACAAGAUUGUCCUCUUCAUCAGCCAGCAAUGACGGUGCCUUGCUUUUUAGAACAUCAGGCGUCUCACAAGCACUAUCUCCAUUUGGAAAGUGUUCUCUGAGAAUUGGCUUUUGAGGAUUCUCUUCAUCCCCAUUUAUUGUUGUCUCCAUCCAGGUUUCAGAUUCACACAAUCUAGACCAAGGUGGAGUAUCAUUCCUUAUAUAUGUUGUCUGAGCCAUUUCUAGAUCUCCAGUAAUCUUUCCUCCAGCAGUUUCUUCUGUUUGUUCAUCUGAAGUUCUUACAUGGCAAGAACUUUGCUUCAAACUAUCCAACUUACUACUCCUUGAACUUGUAAACUUGGAAUUUAGCAUACUUUUGCCAGGAAGAAUAGGGACAGAUAAGAUAAGGACCUUUCCAGAAGCAUCAACAUCUACAACAUGCGAACCAAAGAGAAAAGAGUGACCGCAAGGAUCAUCAGAUAAAUCAUGUUUGUUAUGCUUCUCCUUGGUUUUCAAUGUCCCAGUAGUUUGUAGUUCGGAAUCCGGUACUUCUCCAUGUGGCUGUUUCAUUGAAGAAUCAUCAAGAUUCAACAUAUCUGCAAUAAAACAUUUGAAGAUUAAAAUGGAUGCAAACCAGAUUAAUCAAGGAAAAAAAAAAAGUAGUUAAUUGUUUUGUUCUGAUGCAUGUUAAACUUGAGUAUGCACGUAUCUGUCGUAUCAGUUCAAUAUCAUCAUAAUAGACCAGGAAAUAGCUGGAAGAAAUGCUCUUCUAUUACGAUUAAAGGGUAUGAAUCUUUUCAUGAAUAAUGGUAUAUGUCCAUUAGAAUUGACACUCGAUAUGAGAUACAUUUUCUUUUUGGCAAACAAAGCCCAAAUUUUGAGAUCUCAAUAAUCAUUGGCUGAAUGACUUACAGAUUCAGGCCGCAGAAGCAUACUUGAGAGUACAAACACAAAGGUAUAUUCAUGCUUGUAUUGCACAUACUGAUUAACUGUUCAAAUAUUAGGUGUAGUCUAGGCCUUUCUAAUGUUUUAGUUAAUUGCUUGAGUCCACUCUAAGACAUAACCCACAUCACGGGAAGUGGUAAUAUUUUUAAUAUUAGCAGAGAAAGAGAAGCACACAAAAGAUAAUCAAAAUAAAGUUGAAGAGGUACAAGCAUAAACAGGACCCAAAUUUCUGACAAUAUUUAGCUGGCAACUGGUAAUUCAACAAUAAGAGCACUUAAAAUAAUAUAAUAGAGAAAGGAUUAACAUUUGAUUCAAUCAAGAAAGAGAAGCACACAGAAGAAAAUCAAAAUAAAGUUGAAGAGGCACAAGCAUAAACAGGACCUAGAUUUCUGACAAUAUUUAGCUAGCAACUGGUAAGUCAACAAUAAGAACACUUAAAAAGAAUAUAAUAGAGAAAGGAUUACCAUUUGCUAACUUAGGAGUUCAAAAUGAGAAUCUAAAAUGAUAAGAAAGGAAAUGUAAAUACAUUUUCCACUGAAUUAGGAUUUUCAGCUUUCUGGAUUUUUAAACUAUCUAUCAAGUUAAGCUAUAAACAGUAGAGAUAAAUGGUCACUUAUCUCAGGUGGAUGUUACGAGAAAUUAAAAGUAAAAUAACAUAUAUAUUAGACAUCAAGCUAGAGAAGCUCCACUAACGUAGAAGUUUAAUGCAGGACUAAAGUUACCAUGAAUCUCUGUUUAUUACAAACUUUACUGUAGAAAGUAUCUUCCCUUGGUAUUAAACUACUGGUCUGCAGUAAUCUGAAUAAUUUCUUAAAAUAUUCUUCUUGGAAUAUCCUUUUGACCUACCUUCUCUGUUGUCAUGCUGUUCGAGAGUGUCAACUUCCAAGCACUUCUCUGAACAGACAUCAUCCUGAUAGCAUUAAGUAAUACAUAAGUACAGAGAAUAAAAUAUAACAAGAGAAAAUCUGAACCCAGUUCAUGGUAUCAAACCUCAAUGAAGGAAGUUUUUCUGUCACUGGAAAAGGAUAAUCCUUGCAAAGAUUGCAUCAUAUCAAUUAACAUUGUUGUUCGAAGUGAGUGCAUUACUUUAUGCACUCUUGAGGGAUAGGUUUGGAAGUGAGGAAAGGCAAUAAGAGAUGGUUUCCAUAUUAUGUCAUGUGGCUGGAAAUACUUGGUAACUAAACUAGUUUCAGCAACAGUUAAUUUCUCUAUAGUUACAGGUGUCUGAGUAUCAGUAUCAUCAUUGACUUUCUUUCCAGGACGAACGAAUUGUUCAAUUGAAAACUCAACAUGUUGGACUUCAGGUUUGAAAAUGUGAGGGAUCUACAAGAAAAACGAGACAAUCAAUAAGUCUGAAAGGUGAUGGUACAGUAUUAUUAAAAAAAAAAAACCAAAUGCAGUCUCUCUUAGAAAAUCUCACCAUCCUUGGACUAGAAUGAAAAUUGAAGCUAUUUCUUCCCCCAUUUCGCAUGUGUUUGCUCACAUUCUUGCUAUUUGUUAGCUUCCGAUUGUAACCUUUCAACUCUUCUCCUUCACAGGCUAAAACUAGUAGCCCUUGUCAAGGAUUUAAAGAUGCAUUGAACACAAAGGGAACGUAUUGGAAUAAAUAAAAACAUAUAUACAAGCUUGGUGAGAGUGGGAGAACAAAGAAGACAUUGCGUUAAAUAUGAUGCAGAUUACAUGUAUUCAUAACUCAAGAAAAGGAUAUCUACUCGUCCAUCAUGCUUCCUUCCGGUUCUUCCCAUGCGUUGAAUCAUCCUCAAUGGUGAUACAUUUGCAUCAAAGCAUAUAACAAGAUCAACUUCCAUGAUAUCCAAACCUUCUUCACCAAUUGAUGUGGCAACAAUGACAUUGUAUCCACCAGCACGAAAUUUCUGUGGGAGAAUUUGAGUUAGCCAAAGCAAGGUGCUUGGAAAAGGCAGGGAAGAGAAGCCUAGUUACCUCCAACACAGCUUGUUGAACUUUUUGUGACUGGCCUUUUAAUAUUUUCCCUGUUAGAACUAUAGUCAGUAGAAUUCACAAGCAGAAACCAUACCAAAUAUAAUUUCUAAGCAACUAUUGAAGCCCAAAAGCUUAAACUAUUAGGGAUUCAGCAAUGUGUAUUGAGCUUACAAACUCCCUUACUUGCAAAUGCAGCCAUAGCUGGCAGGUACACAGGGCAGAAAAAUGCAGAGAGUGAAAAAAAUAUAGAGGUCGCCUGAUGGAGCAGCCAUAAGCUGGCUGGAAAUAUCAUCUUUGGAAGCCAAAGACUAAGCCCAACCUUUUUUGGUCUAAAGGGGUCCCUUUUAUUAGUUUCAUGGUAUUCUAGGAAUGUGUAGUUGAAGCCUAUAAAUAUGGCUUUCUAAUGUAAUCCCAAGUUCAGAUUGGAAUGAAUUGAGAUUUUAUCUUAUUGAAGUCUUGGCCUUGUUUCUUUCCUCUCCCCUGGCCUCCCUCAUUCUAUUUCUCCUUCUACAGCUAGGAAACCUCUGUUUCUUCUAAAACCCUUCUGUUCUCUUAACUCUCAACAUUCUCCAGCCCACCCUAUUCAUUCUCUCACCGACUGUUGCUCUCUCCUGCAUCAUCGCCUUCCACACAUAAAUGUGGGAAAGUGUAUUGGAGGUCUUAAACUCAGAAGUCCAUACAAUCAGAGCGCUGAUAAAUGAACAACUAGAGCCCACCAAAAUCUUAAGCUAGAGAACACUGACAAUGUAUGUCAAGCACACAAUAAUUAUCAGCUACCAAACACCAAUGAUUAUGGUCUAGACUUAUUGAUAAAAGCAUGGAUACACUCAAAUCCACCCAUCAACUAGAAAUACUGCUGUCUAUACACUGACCAGUUCUCCUUACUAUUUUGCAUUUUUUUCCUUGGGCCUAAUUUAUUCAGGAAAGAGCCAACAGUUGAUAUCUAGCUAAUAAUGAAUAUUAGCUACCUGAUAGAUUAUAGUUCAAACUAACAUGGAUACCAACGAAAUCAUCCCACCCAUCUACUCACACAGUUUUCCAUGGAUAAACAUAGUUCUGUUUCACAAUCAUUUUACAUGUUCCCCUAGAACCUGUUGAAUGCAUCAUCAUGUAUUCUGUACAUUGGCAUAGCUGAUCCCAGAUAAUACAUGAAACUUCAAUGACUUCGACAAAUUAAAAUGUAAAGCUUUCAUUUUCUUCAAUAUCUAGUUUGCAAAAGCACCAACUAUCACUUCAUGUAACAACAACUGCAUCUUUUAAAGAUUUAAUAUAGGAAUAAAGAAUGAGCUUCAAACCUGAACUUUGACCAAUAAACUCUGUAGCUCUAACUAAAUUGCCGAUGUGUGCCAACGCAUCCAUUAUGGCCCUGUGUGUUUCCAUCAUUAUAUCCAGGAAUUAACUUUCAAAUUAUAAAAUAUAUCCAUGUAAAUAAAAUAAGAUAAUAAAAUUAAAAGCAUCAUCAUCUAUAUUGAACAGAAAGUAUUUUCUGAUUUUCUCUUACCUGACACUUCCCCUGAAGUUUGAGAAAAUCAUGACCCUCGAGUUCUGUGGAUCUUUCGUUUCUGCAAUUAGAUUACAACUAUCAGUCAAAUUGAGCUAACAACACUUUCAUCCAUACAAGUUCACAAUUAAAAGGCUGAUAUUGCCCAAGAGGCUCACAUUCAUGGAAUAAAACUAUAAAUCAACUUCUCAGAAAUUUUGGCGAAUCAUUAUCAACAAAUAUAAUUCACAAAUUGAAAAUAAAUCAGUGCAACUGCAGUGCAUUCAUGGAAAGUUAAAAUACAACCUGCUUAAUUUUAGAUUGUGGGAUUCCAGUUCUGAAUGCUCAAAGCAAGAACUAAACUACUUCCUUAUGCAACAGUAAGACCAGCAUUUCAUGAAAAUUUAUAAGAAAAUUAAGAUAACAGGCUACUUACUGAAAUGAUCACGCAGUACGUCUAACAUUUUGGAUAAUUUGGGACUCGGAGCACCAUGAGACAGACUUUGCUGCAUCCUUAGCUUUGCUUUAUGAACAUCUUCACUUCUACUCAUAUACUUAGCAAAACACCUGGAAAAGAACAUUUAAGCGAGCAACCUAUCAAUCUUGUGCGUGUUGAAAAGCUUCAACACCAUGUUUAAAGCGUAUCAAUUAUAAUAGACAUAGUACUCAUGUCUACACAAGAAAUUUAUGUCAUUCAACUCAAAUUUCAAAUACUGAAGUUCUAUUGGUGGAGUCAAAUACCAUCAUAAGAGAAUGGAGCAUUCGGCUUUCACCUAAAUGUAUUUAAACAGAAAAUAUGAUAUUACAAAAUGAUCUCCUCAAGAUUUUUCGACGUCAUAUUCAUUUGGAACUGUCUGAUUCCUGGAAAAUUAAACAGCAGUUCCUUUUAUAAAGAAGAACUUGUGACACCAUUUGCAAGCUUCCAUCCUAACGGUUCAAUUCUACUAUAAAGUGGUUCUCUCUCUGCUAAGAAAGCUGAUUCCUAUCGGGUUCGGUUGCUGAUUUUUUUAAAUUUCCCUCUCAACUUUGAUAUCAGCUACAGGAGCAGUGGACACUGGAUUUCUUUUAUGCACUUCUUUACAUGAGAUAAAAGUUUGUGUCUUCUAUAAGAAAAGCAACUAAAUAAGAAGGCAGCAAUAUAUAUAUAUGAGACCGGAUCAGAGGAGGACGUCCGCACGCCUUUAAAGUGCGGACGUCCCUCCGUUUGCCACCGUACGGCUCCGACGACGGCGCGCCUCCACCCCAGCAGCGUCCCCGAUCACUUUCCCUCACCGGGGAGUCCGCCGAAUUCCAGUUUUCCGGCGAGAUUGACUUUAUUUGAAGUUUUGGGUGAUCUUGCCGGCAAACUAGAAAAGAACGGACUCACCGGGAAGGGAAAGUGACNNNNNNNNNNNNNNNNNNNNNNNNNNNNNNNNNNNNNNNNNNNNNNNNNNNNNNNNNNNNNNNNNNNNNNNNNNNNNNNNNNNNNNNNNNNNNNNNNNNNNNNNNNNNNNNNNNNNNNNNNNNNNNNNNNNNNNNNNNNNNNNNNNNNNNNNNNNNNNNNNNNNNNNNNNNNNNNNNNNNNNNNNNNNNNNNNNNNNNNNNNNNNNNNNNNNNNNNNNNNNNNNNNNNNNNNNNNNNNNNNNNNNNNNNNNNNNNNNNNNNNNNNNNNNNNNNNNNNNNNNNNNNNNNNNNNNNNNNNNGCCCUUGCUGGCGCCGUACGGUGGUGAACGGAGGGACGUCCGCACUUUAAGGGCGUGCGGACCUCCUCUGAUCCGGACUGUAUAUAUAUACGGAAACGAUGUGGAGCACACGUGCGCACGGAGCUCCAUUCCACCAUCCGGCGUCGGUGCGCCUCUCCCCCCCAGGGGACUCCAGCAGCGUACCCAAUCACUUUCCCUCCCCGGCGAGUCCGCCGAAUUCUAGUUUUCCGGCGAGAUCACUCAAAACUUCAAAUAAAGUCGAUCUUGCCGGAAACUGGAAUUCAGCGGACUCGCCGGGGAGGGAAAGUGAUCGGGAACGCUGAGGCGCGCCGUCGGCGCCGAACGGAGCUCCGUGCGCUCCAUAUCUGGCCUCCUAUAUAUAUAUUGACGAACUUUUAACAAGAAAUUCAAAUGCACGAGGGUCUUGCAUCAAAUAUUCAGCUAUUGACAAAUUCCUAACUAGAAGAGUCGUAUGAUGGUUCCAUAUCGGAUAUGCAGCCAUGGUUAUUGGGAUUUAUGGAAAAUGUUAUGAAAACAGUGACAGAAUGGAUGGUGCACAAGGACAUACCCCUGUUUUAACUUUUCUUCAAGCAGUUCAUGUGCUGGCCUUACUCCAUGUGCUGAUAAUAGCUUAAGAAUGUGGUAACCAGUAAGAAGAACUCCAUACCAACCUUCAAUUUCGCCUAAUUUAAAUGGCGGUAUGUCUGGAGGAGGUGCUGUACGAAAUUUAUCCCUACACGUAAGUAACUCGCCUGGGCUCCACUGCAGGAAACCCCAAAAUGGAAGAAAAAUAUUAAAUAAACCCAACAGAUGUGAUUGGAUCAUUGAAGUCUUGACCAAAAAUGGGGAAGUAUCCACCAAAUAAAAUAAAAAUACACACAUAAGGCGGUGAAUCCUAUAUAUCAACAAAAAUGGCAAUUUCUUGAAAAGCCUAUAUGUAAGUUAAAUCUAGAAGAACUUCGGAAACAAGCUUGUUCAAUAUUUUCUCAAAGCCAAAAUAAAUUGAAUUAUGACUUUCACCAAACCCAGUAAACUGCAACCAACAAUAAUAGAUUGGCAUGCAGCUGAUCAAAUUACUUGUAGUUUCACAGGAUAAAAAAUGCUAUAAAUUGGAAAAUAAUAUUUUAUUGGUAGGUGCAUUAUAUGUAUUACACAGUCAGCCCAUAACAUUGCCAAUGACCAAACAAUAAAGAAAAGAUUCCACCCAGCAGAGAAUAAGUUAACAACUUAACAUUGGAAGACUCUUAAACUAUACUGAACCAUACCGUUCGAGCAUCUCUAUUUGGGAGAGCUCCAGUCGCACUUAGCCUGGUUAAAUAUGGACGUAGAGCAUCAUAUAUCAUAUUACUUAUCUCCACAGCAUCUUGACCCAUAGCCACCUAUAAUUAUUGCAAAAUCAAAAUUAUUUCUCAGUACAAAAUGUUAUUCUAUAAAGACAGAUUACCAUACAUACCUUAAUCAACUCUACCUCCCUGUUGUGAACAUAAGGGGCAACAUCUGGGUCACUUUCAUCGCGGUAUUCAAGGGUUGAUAUACACAAGUUAUCAAUAAUUUGCUGAACAGUCUGCUGCUUAGCUGUAGUAUUGCAUAUGAGUUGUAUGUAAUGUUCAAUGUUAUUGUACGAAUUCAUAGAAACCCAGUAGAAAAUAGUUACUUACAUCCUGGUGUUGCGGUCAAUGCUACAAUUCUCAGUUGCACUUGUGCCGCCAUUAACUAUAAGUUUAAAUAUCAUUUAGUAUCGUCUGCUUUAAUAGCAAUUUGACACUGAACCAACAACUAUUUAGGUAGCCAUAAUAAGAUAAUAACAGACAAGAAUACCAAAAUAUCUGGAAAGAAGAAUCAAACUUAAUUGAUAGAUCAUAAAGUAAUAGAACAUACUUCACGAACUGCAACACUGGAAGCAUAGUUUCCUAAUGCUCGGUGAGCUUCAUCAAUCACCAAACAUACCAAGCAUUCGACUAAGCAUGCUCCUGCAACAAAGUACCUCGUAAGCAAUAUCCAAUGAUGAUAGAUCUAUUCAUAAGACAAACUGCAAACAUAUAAUAUAUUUAUACACCUUUCUCAAAUAUAUAUAUAUAUACAGCCCUUCUUGGCUGCAGACAUCCGCACCGAAAGUUUCGGUGUAGAUUUCCAUUUUUGCACCACUUUCCGAUCCAAUUUCCUCAUCUCCACCGUCUAGUAUCUAGAUAAUAUUGUGUAGAUCAUCUCUGCAAAAUUUCAGCCAAUUUGGUGAUCGUUAAGGCCCUCAAACUCGAGUUUUUCUGGUAUGAACACAACCGGACAGAAUUCAGUCCGUCCAUUUGUUUUUCGAGUUUGAGGGCCUUAACGAUUACCAAAUUAGCUGAAAUUUUGCAGAGAUGAUCUACACAAUAUUAUCUAGAUACUAGACGGUGGAGAUGAGAAAAUUCGAUCGAAAAGUGGUGCAAAAAUGGAAAUCCGCACCAAAAACUUUGGUGCGGACGUCCGCACCUGAGCAUUCCCAUAUAUAUAUAUAUAUAUAUAGUGAGUAUCAGGUGCGGAUGUCUGCACGGCUCUUAAAGUGCGGAUGUCCGUAUCUGAAACGCCUGUAUAUAUAUAAAUAUAUAUAUAUAUAUAUUUAUACACACAUCACACUCUCCCUCUGCCAGAUUCUAUAUUUGCAGCUGACAGACAGUUCAAGUGGCCUCUGUAUUAAAGGUUAUUCUUCCCGGAAUGGAGCUCAGGGCCAAAACAAGAAUGAAAAGUAAACUAAAACAUAUAGUAUUGAAAAAAUAGGGAAUCUGCAUCACAAAUAUUUAGCAACCUGCUAGACCAGCUGCCCAGCCACUUGAGCAGAAAAGUGCCCGAAGCUGGACAUUCUGACAGAGAAAUACUAUAUGUUCCGGACAUAAACAGCACCGGCAUAGUUUUCUCAUGAGUAAAAAAUAAAAAUAAAAAGAGCUAUCAUGUUGAUCAUUCUAUACAUACAAACUGGGUUCUGGACAUAGAGCACAGACUAAGAUUUUCUGAAUUAGAUUAGAAACAGAAACCCUAAACAAGGGAUGAGAAAAUAUAAAAAAAAAACUAAACUUUAUGAAGCAGCAAAUUCAAUCAGAAAGACUGCAGCUCCUUCUUCCACCAAUUGAACAGUACUUUCUUCCAUUUAUAUGCCUGUUCACUCUUCUCUAGUAUCACAAUAAACCUAGAACACACCUUCUCAUGAUGGUUUUGUAUUACAACAUGAGAAAAAUCUCACAUUCCACCAACAUAUCAUUAUAAAUAUUGCUAGCAUAUGGAUUAAAAAUUAAUCACCAGACUGAAUGUCCUUCUCCAGCACUUGUGGAGUAACGAAGAAAACUCGUUUAGUUUUCCAAAAGCAUGCUCUUUUUGUAGGACUUAUCUGACCCGUCAUAUCGAUUGUCCAUUCCUGCAAUCAGUUCGAUCAAAUCAUCUGAUAAAUGUUCUCAGUUUUAUGCAUUAAGCAAAGGUUUGUUAUAAAAAGGUUCUUACUUGUGGUAUUCCUACAAUAUUAUGGCAUGCUUCUAUUUGUUGUGUAACAAGUGGUCGAGAAGGAGCAGCAAAGACUAUCUUUCCUGUAGCGAAAAGAACAAUGUCAAUGUUCCAUAAUUCACAAAAUAGAUUCAAGACAUCAAAAUACAGAAAACUGGAAAAUAUGAAGCUUCAUGUAAAUCAAUCAAAGUACUUCUUAACUAAAACAGCGGAAGAAAAAAUUGUUUCAAGAAGAAUUCAAGACCAAGACAUCACAAAAGUUACUAUAGCAUCAUCUGAAUAAAAACAAAUGUGAGUUAUUUGGACGAGACCAGGACCAAAUGUGAUACCGAGACCAAGACCUUCACAUAACUUGCCAUAAUUUGACUAGGACCAUCACUACCCAAGCCCCUAACCUAUUUUUAUGAAGUGUAUAGUUCACUAAGCCAAGAUAUCAAAACUCCAGCUGUAGGAUAGAUAACUAGGUGAUGCAGGAGCUUGCACAUUAAUUAGUUAGGCAGAGAAGAUUAAAAAAUUAAUUAGUUAGGCACAGAAGCUUGCACAUUACUUAGUUAGGCUUCCUGAUGGCUUCUGUCGAUAAGAUUUGGUGCAACAUAUGUAAGAAAAAGCUACGUAUAAAUGAAACAGAGCUGGACGGAUUUUAAAUCAUUCAUGGUAGCAUAAAUGUUAGGAAGAAGCAAUUUUACAUUAAGAAAACAAUACACACUAAGCAUUAUGAUAUACAUCUUCCUAAGCAAUCACAUGUAGAAAGAGUGAAACUUUUUUAUGCAAUCAGACACUCAAGAAGCUUACAAAGACUGUUUGUUGAUCUCUGAAGUCUCAACAAGAUAAAUUAUUGCUGCUACCAAGGCCUUUCAAACAAGAGCAUUCUAAAUACCAGGGAUAUAAAAACUAAAGAAAAUAGAGAACAAAGGAAACUAGAUACAGGAAUCAUGACUGAAUCAACAAACAAGCCUUUGGAACAGCAAAUUUAGAACUUACCAAAACGCCAUUACCUUAUCAAAACUUAAGGAAACUUGGGUAAAACACAAAUAGAUAUGCCUAACUGUUGAAGAUGUUGUUGUUCUGGCCACAUCUUACUCUUUUCAUCCACAUGCCAAUGUUUCUUUACUUACAUGUGAGUAGCGAUACUGUUUAUAGCCUUCAUGGCCUUUCCAAUCAAAUUGCUACAUUCAGAAACUAAAUUAAGGCAUAAGCCAUUUAAAGCUGUCAAUCAAAGAUCUUCAGAGGUUCUCAUGUCAUCAGACACAUAGGCUGCAGUACUAGGUUCGACAGCCUCUUACUGUUUAGUCCUCGACUCCUCAUCAACAUCUAUAUAUAGUCAUCCUUGAGCUACAACAAGUAGCUUAAUAAAACAUACAACGCUAGCAGAUAAGCACUUAUUCAUUUUCUAAUAAAACAUACAACGAUAUCGUAUCUUCUAUUCAUGAUCCUUAUUCAUUUCUAGUAGCUCUCCUCAUCAAUGUCUUUGUCCUUUUGCUAGACACCUAUCCAUCACAUACACUCCACUACCUUAAGACCUAACCUCCAAAAAAAAAAUGAAUCAUCCAAUGCUGUUGAGGUUCAACAAAUGUGACAUCUAACCGCAUCAUGUUAAACACAAUAAAUAAAUAAAAGCAUGACAAUAGUAGCCAAAGAAGCAGUCAGUUAAGACGAAGCUUGUGAGCAAACUUACCCUCAGGGAACCAUCUGAAGUAGUUAUACAUAACAACUGCAGCAAUAAGCGUCUUCCCGAGUCCGGUUGGCAAUGCUACCAGCGUAUUCGAGAAGAGUGCUGUCUUGGUGAUAGCAAACUGAUAGUCACGCCCCGGAAAAUUAACUGCAAUCAUCACAACAACCAAAACAUUACUACCUCAAUCUCUAUAGUUCAUAACACCACCAAUUUCAAUAGAAAAAUAAUCAACCUAAAAAUCAAUAAGAGCAAGCCCAACCCUUAGUUCAUUACAAAUUUUCGGAGAGGGAGGUGAAUUCGAACCUGGGUAAAGCCAAGUUUGGGCUUUUUCGGCGUCAAUUUGAACACGGGGCGGUGUCUCAUCCUGGCCGGAAUCUCGAGUCUCCGGCUGAGGCUUUGGGGCGGGCUUCGCGAUGAAUCUGUCGAGAGUGGUCUGACGAGAAGUCGAGGGCUUUGGAGGAAACGGUGGUUUGUGAAUUGGAGGAGGGGCAGAAUGGGAAGUUGAGGGCCCGGCGGUGGUCUGGGUGAAGAAGACACUGGCAGCUGCUUCCCAAUCGAAACCGUCGUCGUCGUCGUCGUCGUCGAGAAUGUGAAGAGGAGCGGUGGAGGUCAUUGGGGGUAGCUGAGACUGAGAGAGAGAGAGAGUGGAAUGCGAUGUGGCGUUGUGAGAUGUGAAUAAAACCCCCACUUCAGAAAGGGCGGCAAACCCUCCCUCUUCCUUUUUAGUUUUUUUAUUUUUUUUCCCUUUCUUAUCUAUUACUGAAAAAUAAAUAACGAAUUAUAAAUGUGCUUACUGGUUUUGGUGAUUCUGGUACUGAUACUUUUAUUUAGGGAGUUAGUGCCGAUGGUUGUUUUUCUAUCAAAAGUGUUUAUAAUUCUCUAUUUGAUAUAUCUACUCCUCAUAAUCCUCGGUGGCAAGCAAUUUGGAAAUACAAUAUCCCUCCAAAAUUGAAGACUUUUAUGUGGUCUGUUCUUCAUAAGAAAAUCCUAACCAAUGUGCAAAGAGUUACUCGAGGUUUCACUUCUAAUGCUUCUUGUCCAAUUUGCUCUUCGGCUGAUGAAUCCCUUCUCCAUCUAUUCAGAGAUUGUCCCAGGUCUGCUAGCAUUUGGAGAUCUUUUCCUAAACCUGGUAAUAUUUCGAAUUCUUUUUCCUUAGAUUGGAAUGGUUGGAUUUAUGCUUAACUUCAUUGUCAUGCUGCUGUUGAAAAUGAUGUUAAAUGGUGCAAUCUAUUUGUUUUCAUCUGUUGGUUCAUUUGGAAAUGCAGAAACAAGCAAGUUUUUUAUCCCUCUUUUUUCAUGACUAUUUGUUUUAAGAAAGUAAUUUGGGAUUAUGCUUUAGAGUGGAAAAAAGCACAGAAUAGAGCUAAGGCUGAUUCUAUGUAUAGCUAUUCCAUGUUAUCUUGGAAGAUGCCUCUCUUAAAUUUCUUCAAGUUAAAUAUUGAUGGUACUAGAGCUACUGCUUCUGGGAAGAUUGGUGCAGGUGGAGUGAUUAGAAAUCAUGCUGGUACUUGGAUUAUUGGUUUUCAGAUUAAUUUGGGAGUUGGUGAAAUCCUUACUGCUGAAGCAUGGGGCUUAUUUUAUGGUUUGAAGCUUGUUGUUAAGCUGCAGAUUUCAAACUUGGAAGUUGAAUCAGAUUCUGCAAUUCUGGUCAAUUUUGAUACAAAGUUCUAAUCUGGCUCUCCAUCCUUUAGGCUCCCUCCUUGAUGGUUGUUGCAAGCUCAUGUCUAGAAUGGAAAAUGCUAAGCUCAGCCAUAUUUUUCGUGAAUCUAAUAUGACUGCUGAUGCUUUGGCAAAGAGUAGUAUCUCCCAUGAUUUGGGCUUCAUAAGCUUUGAAGACCCCCUUGUGCAUGCUACACAAGCCUUUCUUGAUGAUUUGAGUUAUACCGUUAGAGCUAGAAGAUCUGCUUCAUGCUUUAAUAUUUAGUUGUUGGUUUUUUGUUUGAGCUCAUUUGAGUUCCGUUUGUAACAAAACAAAAAAACAAAUAACGAAAGUAUAAAACAAAUUUUCGAGAAACUCCUCUUCCUAGAGGAGAAUAAACAAAAUGCUCUAACUAAGGUUACAACUCUAUCUCAGCAACAAAAUUUGCUUUCCUGUAUAAAUAUGACAAAAGAUGAGAUUUGGCAAGAGGAAGCAAGACGUAAUAUAUCUAAAACAAGGGACUUCAAACACCAAGGUGUAGUAGCUUUUCCCAUCAAGCAAUCAAUAAGCACCUUGGAAUCACACCAAGGUAAACAAGGAGUAGCAGAGUUUUGAAGAACAAAGUUAAAAUAAUGAAAAUUUGAGGCAAAAGUGAUUUCCUGAUUGUAACAAUGAUUAACAUUUGCUAGAACAUUUCAAAAAAUCAUUCAUUUUAUGCUUCGCUUUCCUUCUUUUUUAAUGGGGGCUGGUCCGGUUGGUCUCAAGCCUUAAUUAAUGAAAUUGCAUAAUAAAUGAGGGGUGACGUAGAGCCUGGACCACAUACAGUAUUAUAAUAAGCAUAAAGAGAGAAUCAUAAAAUAAUACCAAGAUUCUCCAUAUUACAUAAGUAUUCUAACAACCACCAGCAAAAAGUGCAUCAGUGGCUACUCCAUUUGCUUUGUCACCACAGGUCAUUGUGGUGUCAUAAUAGAAAGAUCACCAUAUAUAUAAUACUUAUUCUAUUUUAAAUGUGUCUCAGUUAUCUUAUUCUAUCAAUAUUAUAUUAAUAUAAUGGUACAAAAAAAAUCUAUACUGGUAGGUCAGAGCAUCUUAUCAAUGCUAGCCAUUUUGGAGUCAAAUUUUAACCAAAAAGCUAAAAAGUCAUUUUGGCUAGUCAUACUUGAAAAAGAAAAAGCAACAAGCCUCCCUAAGUAAUAAUAAUUCCCCCACAACGAUUACUCAUAUUUUGAUAUCUUUUCAUGAUAGUUUCAUUAUCAACACCAUCAAAUAUAUUUUUCUUUUUUUAAGAAAAUAGAUAAUUUUAUUAAUUUAUCCACGGCCAGAAGACGCUUACAUUAGUUUGCAUACUUGCGACCAAUCAGUCUUACUAGCAACAAGCACUAAUAAAGAGACAGGUAGCCCUCAUUACAAAUGCGCUCAAUUAAGCCUAUCACAUCUAAUUUCCAACUAAACCUAUCUAAAUUCCAUGUAGCGGUAAUACGAGUAGCCUACGGACCUCAAUUGGUGUACAACAAAGUAAUACCAAAUCUAAACAAGAAAUAGUUUUCCAUUAGAUGUCUACGUAAAAAACAAGGAAGUUAAACUAUCUCCUUACCCUCAUUAGUAGGGCUAGCCUCUCUCGAUCAGACCUCGAGGAUGUCAUGCGAGACGGAGUAAAUAAUUUAUGGAAACGCUUUGGCUCAGGUCCACCAAAAAUCUUGCAUAAAAGAAUAAGCCCAAAUCUAGGUCCAAAACCCAGAUCCAAGCCUAUACUUUAGCAGCACCAAUCCCUUCUCUCUUCCAGGCCAACAACGCCUCUCUUGCCGGCCACUAUCUACGAAAUUCCGGCGGCCAUACCUUCAGGUACAUGACAACAUCUGUUGCCGCUGCUGGGGACUAGUGCCCAGACCCACUCAAUCUCACCACGAUGUUAGGCCGUGGCUGGUCAGCUGUCACCACAACCAACUACAAUCCGAUGUUGUUGAGUUCAGGGACGACGCCAUCCAAGGGUAGCACCAUUGAAGCCUUAAAUCAAAUUAUAGUAAUAGGGUCCUCUAAAUUAUGUAGGGAUCUAAGAAGAGUGCUGAGGGAAUGACGAAAGGGAGAAGCUGGGAUGGAGGAGAUGGAGUGGAGGAGACGGGUGCUAGGGUUUGAGGCUGUGCUAGAAUGCUAGGGUGAGAGAAAACUCUCCUAAUUUCUCUGAGCAGAGCUGAGCCGAGCCUUGAAAAGCUAGAAGACUGUUUGAUUAUGACAUUUAGUAUCAAAUAUAUCUUUCUUGAUAUAUGUAAUGUAAAAAAAUACUCUUUCUAUAACGGCAGUUACAAUUAAAAGAAUUAGUGUCAAUGUUAUAAGCAAGUAAACUAAUGGAUAAACUUGGUUUUUCUGUGUCUCAACUAUUUUUUCUCCAAGCCCACUAAUUCAUUUCAGUUCUUUAAACAUAUUAUUGCUAAAGUCCUAAAUGACACUUCAAAAAGCUCUCUAAAGUUCCCUUGGUUCUUUGAAUCAUCAAAUUUAUCAUGAUCGACCACGAAAUGGCAACCCUUAUUGGGAAGAAACCGAGCACAAUCAAGUGAUACAUUUAAACGAGUGCAAUAGUUAAUCCGAUUUUAUUGUUUGGUUCACCAAAACUAUAUCAACAUGUUGUCGUUGAUUUAAUAAAACUUCGCACAUUCUUCUACCAUUUUGUUCAGCACUAUUGGUCCCUCAAACAUGUUGUUUAAGCUCUUUUUUUUUUUUCUACUAACAACAGUAUAUACCACGUGUUUGGUCUCCAAUAUCUUGUUUAAAAAGAUAAUGGUGCAAACAAUAUGCAACAUCAUUUUCUAUAUAUACUAUACUACAUCUAACUAUAACGAUCAUUGAACCAUGUAUCUUUAAACCUAAUGUUUUUUUUUUGAAAGAAGGUCUGGUGCGGGUGCUCUCAAGUUUUGAUUAAUGAAAUUGUCGAAUACAAAAAUUUGGGAAAGGGGGGGGGGGGGGGGGGGUUGGGGGGGGGGUGGUAAUGAGCUUAAACCCUUGAUCUUUAAACCUUAUGCUAAUACCCCUGAAUUCCGUCUGCGAAAAUUUAUAGUUUUUUCAUUGACAAAGAGCUUGCAUCAAAUUAUGUUUUCGCACUUGAUCUUGAACAUUAUUAUGGUAUUUUAAAGUUGUUGUUCGAAGUUCUGGAUCUCAAGGAAGGCCUUCUAUGUUAAACUCGUUAAAUAAAUAUUUUGAUGUACCAAUAUCUUCAGAUGCACUACUUGUCUAAUGGGAGCGGGUGUUAGUCGAUUUGUCAAGUUCAAUUCUUCUGUAUGAUAUUUUAAACUACCUUCAUUGGAUCUAUUUCUUAUUUGAUUAAAAUAUGAAGGUUUUGACUUGCUGUUUGUAGGGAGAAAUGUAAAUUACGAAAUUAUAGUCUUAGGAAUCCAUACACAAAAAAAUAUCAACAAACUUCCAAAACAAAAUAUAAACAUGUUUAAGCAUAGGAAAAAUCUCAAACAACAACUUGUGAUUCCUUUGGAACUUCGAGAUCAACAACCUAUUCAACAAAAUUGCAAAAGUAGUAAAAAGACAAGAACAAUAGUUUAACAAUAACAUAUAAAUAAGCUAAUAAGACAUUCAAUCAAUUAUGAACCCUAACUUUUGCUCAAAAUCCUUAAUUUUAGUUUAUUGAAUACUUACGAGAUAGAGAUGAAGAAUGAAAGACUAAUUUAAUUGACGAAGUGGCGAGAAAUGGGUUGAUCGGGUGGAAAAGAAAUUGGAGAACUCGCUGCUGCGAGACAAACUCUUGGACGGUGAAAAAGAAGACGAAACAAAAAACAGAAAGAGCUACCGAGCGACAACUGUUGUCUCUCUUCUUAUUAGGACGUCAACCCAAAAUAUAUAAUUACCUAUAAAAUAGUCAAUAACUAUAAUGACUACAUGUAAGAAUUUUUUUUCUCCCAAAAAAAUUGGGUGGGACUUCAGCCCUACAAACAUCAAGUCAAAACCUUGCAUGAUAAAACAGCAAGCUCCUUAAACACACAACAAGAAUUAGAUUGUUGAUACUUGGAAGUAUGAAAACUUUUUAGAUGAACACACAACAAGAACUACGAAAGAUGUAAUGCUCGGUUCACAUACCCUCGUAUCUUGAAAUCAUUGAUGUCAAUAUUCACACAUCGUAGAAAUGUAUCUAAAAUUCUCUCAUUGCAGCAAGAUCAGGUGUUACGUACAUGUAAAACAUAAGGACAUAAGGACUAGCCUCCUCAACAUGCUCAUAAAUCUUUGAAGCAUUUUCCAGGGUCUCGCAUACUAGCCUAUGAAAGUAAAUGUUAGUACUAUUAUCCACAUGUAUCUAGGCGACGCGGUGACAAUAUUUAAUAUGUCCAUAUGAUCUGUUCAAAUUAACAAUAACGUUUAACUUAGAGGUCUAUAAACUAUAUAUAUAAACACAAUUAGAUAUGUUGCAUAUAAAUUCUUACCUGAAAUAAUCACGAAUAUAUCUUCAACACACACAAGUUCUCCUAUUUUGGCACGGUCGAAUACCAUGAAUAAAAUGUUUUCUUCUUUGUAACGAUGAUAAUACAUGUUUAAGACGUCAUAUAUCAUCACUAAGGCUAAUCCUGUGGCAGACACAUGAUACAUUGGAUAGAAUGAUACAAACACGUAUAUAUAAGACCCACAAAGAAUAAAAAAAGAAGUGUUGCAAGUGGAAUUGUUACCUCGCAAAGGUCCACCACUAGCAAGAUCCUGAAAUGUAGAGUCAAAUAGGCAUGUGUGAUAAAGUCGAGAGAAUCCUCAAAAGACAUGUCAAAAUCGUACUCGGCUACAACAUUGAUGUAAAAAACAAAAAAAUAAAAAUGAAUUGAUCAUGCUUAUGUGUUAAGUAUUAGAAGAAGCACAUACCUCGAGCCCAUGACUUCCCCAUCAAUGUUUAUAGCAUGGAUAUUACCUGAUCCAAGUGAGAGAAAUUGAUUGUCCUUUGUUUCCACCACUUAUCACCAUCUACGUAUACGCUGAAGAUUCGGGGUUUCUUGCCCUGCAAUGACAAAGUUAAACAAAAUAGCAAACAAAAACUUCUGAGCAAACUUAAGUGAAAAUGUUUUAGUACUAUCUUUACUUCAGAAGCACCCAUAUGAUGGUCUCAAACCUCUUGUUCAUGCCAUGAUAACGAUUCAAAUAAUCAACAACUGCUUUGAAAAUAGCUGUCACAGAUUUCUAUUGGGAAAAAAUUAUGAUUGAUUAGUUUUGUUCUUUACAAAUAGAAGUUAUCAAAAAAUAAAUUAUAAGAUCUUUACCAUGUGCCGACAAUAAUCUUGCAAAAGUCCAUACAAUCAUUGCGGUGGUCUAACAGGAUGCCCACAGUGUGUGUAGUAAUGUCGUAAAACUUCUCCGUAUCGUUUGUAAUUGCACAAACAAUACAACUUUGGUGUAAACUAAUACCAGAGACAAGUAUAUAAACAAUAAAAGAUUAUACUUUACUUUUAAGUGUUUGUGAUUCAUAUCUUUCAUUUGAAGCUUGGGACUCCAAGCCAAGCAUCGAGCUUUCUUUGAAAUGAAAAGUGAUGUCUGUCGUCUCAUACCACCCGAAAUCUUGAUCGUCGUCUAAGGAGAUGGCUCUGUCCAAAAAGUGAAUUUAUGCAAGUUAGGAGACAGGUAGAGCAAGCCAUAUGGCUUAUCAGUUAUUACACAUGUCUCAACAACUAAGAGACAAGUCUCAAACAAUGCACUAAAGUAAGUACUAAAAAUAUUUCAACAAUGCAAUAGAAAAGACAUGGCGGCAGAGAACACAUAUCCCCUUCCAUUUUGUUUUUGCUUUAGAAGGUGGACAUGUAUUUCUAGCCUAGUUAGUGCUUUAUAUGGAUUCAUUUGUAAGCAAUUAAGUAAUAAAUGAUAGUUACAAACGAUUGUUAGAGCUGUUAAUAGGAAAAAAAAUAGUCUCCCUAAGUUUGUAAGAAGAUGUCACAUUCUAUAAAACAGAAUUGCUCAUAUAGUAGUUUUCAUAUGUAUAGAAGAUAUCAUAGUAAAAGAGAUUCUCUAAAACAACAUGCAUCUCAUGAAAAUAUCAACAUAAUCCCAAUCAUGGAUUAUAAAAAAACUUACCCAUGUCGAACACUACUUUUCAAAAUCAUUGAAUCUUGUUAAAUUUAUCAAACCCCAAAACAAUUUAAGAUAUAUAUCUUAAAUAUAUAUAAAUAAAUAAAUAUGUCUUUGAUUGAGGAUGAAAUGACAUUCUACAUUAAAGGAAGCCCGCCAAAUUCCAAUACUAUUUAUAUUUGUGUGCAAAAAGUUAUGAUUAUUUCAAAUUUUUUAUCUGCUAACUUAUGAUUCUUGGCAAGUGUAGCCUAGUCCAUUACUUUUACGGUUGAUGAUUCAUGUUCAACAGUUGGUACAAAUGUUAGUUGACUCCGUUAGUUCAUUUUCAUAAAUAACAAAGAUUGUUCAUCCGAGUUGUUCUCACAACACCACAUUCAUACUAGCUCGUGACCAAACUUUAUGGUUGUGUAACACCCUAGUGAGUUAACACACAUAAAGAUAAAUUGAUAUAUUACGCCCAAUAAUUUCUCUCUCUCUCUCUCUCUCUCUCAUCUAGCUGAUUGUGCUCAUUUGUUUCAGUUUACUUUUUUCUUUUUGUAGCAAUGGAUGAAAAAUGGAAGUUUUUUAAUUACAAGCUCAUUGUUGAUGAUGACAAAGGUAAUUAUCAACAUAUAGAGACAAACCAUAGUUUGUUCAUUUGUGUAUAGUGUGAUGAAACAUUCCCUUACAAAGAGUAUGGAGAGAUCUUCUUGAGCGCUACUACGACAAUGUGUAGCACUACGGCUUUAUAUUCUGCAACAAAAAUAUUCUGCAACAAAAAGAAGUGUCUCAUCUUUCAUAUCAAAAACGACCACAAUUGUAUCCACCCAAAGCCGAAGCCAAAGAAGCUGAAGAAGAGGGGGAAGGAAAUGAAAGGAGGAAGACGAGGCAGGCACAACCAACAACUAGCGGUCGCGUAUAAUUAGUGAUUCAUGUCAUUUUUAUGUUUAAUCUAUUUUCUCUAAUUAAUCAAUGACUUGCAUGAAAUACGUACUCGGAUGAUAAUCAAUGUUUGUUUUUCGACGUUUAAGUCAUUUUAUGGAAAAUUCUAAUAAUCUAUUCUUGUAAUGUAUUUUAUGUUGAUGUCUUAAUCCUUAUCUACUCUACUAUAUAAUGUAUUUUCUGUUCAGUGACAACCAUGAAAUGGCUAUGCUGGUAUAUCUAUAUUUGCUAAUGUAAAUAAACUGAGCUUCCAUGUCUGGAGCAUGGAAACUGUUUGUGAUUAUAUGUAAUACACCCUACUUUUUAGUCAUAUUCAACAUACAUGAAUAUACAAUUAUACAUUAUAUUUAACUUAGGACAUCUAUCUAUAAAUAUUAAUCGAAGUGGUAAUACUUAUAUAUCUCACAAGCUAUCUCUCUAAAUCAUCAAAAUACAAUCGUUAUUCAACAAAUCAAAAAGAAAUCAAAUAAAUAAAGCUAGCAAAAUCAAUUACAAAAAAGAAGAUUAGUUGUAUUGUAUCUAAAAAAUAAGAGGCUUAAUAAAACAAUAGAAAUAAUAAGAAAUUAUUAGGGCAUAAAGACGGGCCAGGCCGGGUUUCAUUUGCUUGACCCUUACCCUACCUUAUUUGAGAAGGGCUAGGGCUGGCCCGUCCUAAUGGAGGGCUAGGUAGGGCUUCAGCCGUAAAGGGUAGGGCGGGUUAGGAUCGAAGGGCCAAAUGACGAGGCCUACUCUCACGUAACAAGAUCAUGAACUGGGCAUUACCAAUUAAUCAAAGGCAAUUCAUAAAUCAAAGGCAGCAUAUUAAUCGAAGAUAACUCAUAAAUCAAAUGCAACAUAUUGAUCUAAGACAGCUCAAAUAGUAUAGAAAGUAACAUAUUAAUCAAAGGCAACAAAAUCAUGAACCAGACACCACCAAUUCUCAUGAAAAAGUCAUUAGGUCAAAAAAUCGGGGCAACACCAGAGAAUCAAGGCAGAACACAUGUAAAACUAUCGAGAAAAUAUCGAAUAUUAAACAUGGUAUAUUUAACCAAAAAUAGAUUACGGUUAAACAUGUUUAUAUAAAAUUUGAUAAAAUUUCCAUCGAUAUUCGAUAUUUUAUUUUAAUUAUUUAUUUUAAUUUAUUUUAUUUUAUUUUGCUUAACAUGUAACUCCAAAAAUAUAUAUGCAUAGAAGAGUUCUACUAACUUUUAUCACUAUUGUUGUAAAAAUAAAUAUUUAAUUUUGGAGUUUUUUUUUAAAAAUAUUUUUGCUAAAGUAAAUUGUUUUAUUUGUAUUUGAUAACCUCAAAAAAUAAAUUAUUUUGUUAAAGCAAGUAAAAAUGAUAUAUUUACUGAAAUGAUGAAAAUACCCUUAAAAUUUAACGGUGUUAGUGGUCAGGAUAUCAAAAUACUAACGGAAUGAAACUUCGGGUAUAAAAAUGUAAGUUUUUGAUAGUUAGGUAUAAAAAUGAAAAUAACAUCAUGGUUCGGGUGAUGUUUUGUAAUUAAUUCUAUUAAAGAUUACCUAUAAAUUAAUCACUACAUUUCUGUUGUGGCCCAUUGAUUUCAUAUCAGUGAUCUAUGAUUUUCGUGUGUAGUAUUAGAGCAACACUUUCGUUUGCUCAAGUGACUGGUAAUUACUGUUCCUCAUAUUAUAAACACCAAUUGAUUCAAAAUUAUCAACAAAACCAAUCAAUUCUAUUCUGUACCAGCUUGUAGACCGAGUUGGUAUAAACUUUGAUGUGCUGUCAGCCUGCAAGUCAUAUGGUAAUUUUCAGGAGGAAAUGGAACCUGAAUGUUGCCUCUGGUGACUGAGUUGGUCCGUUGGUAACACUGAGAAGAAAGAAGCAAAUUAGCAGCGACGUCAGCGGGCAUAGAAUCAAAUCACAGUAUUAGGAAGUAGACAACAAAUGACAUUAUAUUCCAUCAUCAUCAUCCAUGUUAUUUCUGAAGAGGGAUCGAUCAGAAGCUAUACAGUUGUAACUUGUAAGAUGACUCAGUCCAGACUCCAGCAUCAUCCAUGUUAUUUGUGUUUCAUUGGCUUUGUCAGCUGUGUAUCUUCGCUUCUUCAAGAGCCGUGCAAUGCAUCAGCCUUUCGAUCAAGGUCAUCAUCAAUCUCAUCCGAAGAAGCGCGAGUAAAUGUCCUUUGAACUCUAGAUCAUCAACAAAUGAAGCAAUGUGGUAUAUGAAUGCUGAACCUGAGUCAUCUACCAGAAAAUAUGACAGGUUCUGCAUGGGUCUUUUAGUAAUUUCACUUUCUUGUUUCAAAUGGAAAGCUGUAAAUUAGAUUUUAGAAGGCAAAUAUGAGGUGGAAAUCCAAAAUGAAAAUAGCCCUCAUCACAGUGCUCACCAUGAUCAGCUGAGAGAGAUCAAUCACAUUGACAAAGAUGAAAUUGGAAGCAGGAUUGGGCAUGGGACCGAUGCACAGUAAUAGAGUGAGCAAGCGAACAUAAGUUAUUUCUGUUUCAUCGACUAAGUUGCAGCUAAAUGUGUAUUGCAAAGGGCUCAUCAAAAUUCGAAAGCAUAGUAAAAAUUAUUUGAUACAAAAUUGUAUAUAAAACCACAAGGAACUGAAUUUUCACAAUCAGAAUAGAUCACAAAUUUCUGCUUUAUCAGCUGGCUAUGGCUAGAAUUGAAUUACCCUGAAAUUCCUGAUUUAAAAUUCUGGAAAUGGGUGUGGCCGACAAAAAUGAGAACAUCCCAAAAGCUGGUUCAAAAGUUCAACUCAGGAGUUUGCAACCAUCUGCUCAUGAACCUUGACAUGAGAGCUUCCUUCUCCUAUUCCUGCACCUUCCUCAUGACCUUCUUCAUCAUUGAUUUGGUUGUCUUUUCGUUCCUCAAUCUGUUUUAGUUUCUUCGACCAAUCAUACAUCUAUCUCUUGACUUCCCUCUCAUCUAGUUUUAGCUCUUUAAAUUCCUGUUCAACCUUGGAUUCAUCUUUAGGUUGCAGGAAAGCAUAUCCCCCUGUCUGCCCAACCUCUUCAUACAGCUUUUCAAUUUUCGCUUUCCAGACAAGCCCCAUCUCGGUGUCCAUCUUCUGGUAAGGAGUUUUCAGAAAGUAUUCAUCAAUCCCACCUGCCUUGUCUAUGCAGCGCAAGGCGUGGGUGGUGACUUUGACUUGAAUCUGGCGGUCUAGGAUGUAACUGAAGAGCCGCUUCUCCUGCACAUUUGGCUUCCAAUGCCUCCUCGUCCUGAUCACCACAACAAUUUAUGGUUCAUCAAUAACCCAUUCUUCCCACUUUUUACAAUCACAGACCAAAACAGCUCCAAAGUGCAUUCAUAUACACUACAACACCUUUACAAAUGCAGUAUAAUAUGCAUAAAGAAAACAGUAAAGUACAAAAUGUAAAAUUAACCUAGCAGCUCUGCUGCAUUUAGAACUAGUAUUAUAUACAGCCUAUUUAUAAACAAACUCAUGAACUAUAUAAGCAUGUAUUAUACAGUAGUUACACAUUAGAUAUCAAGUUUAUUAUUGAAUAAGUUUAUGACAUCUGUUAAGAAUUCAAAUUCAAAAUAUAGGUUGUUAAGACAAGAAUUGGAUUAAGACAAGAAGUUAUCUGGACAGUUUCUUGAUGGAAGAAACUGUCAUGGAACUGUUAAAAGCAGUUAAAAUAUAACUGCUGCCAUUCUGAUCCCUUCUAGAGCACAGACACACUCCUAUAUAUAUUGUCCCAUCAAGCAAUAGAGUAUUAAGUGUGAAUCUAGAAGAAGAACAAAAAUGGAUAUGAACUCGAAUCUACCAAGUUAGUAUUUCAAACAUAUUUACAUUUGAUCUAGAAUCUGUCAUAGGAUAUUAGUAUAUUGAAUGUUUAUGAAAUGUACAAACUUACAAUUGGUAUCAGAGAAACUAUGCUCAGAUGCUAGAUUGGUGUAUAUGUGUUUGUUGAAAUUCGUUUUUGUAUCCUGGGAAAUAACAAGCAUAUCCGUAGAAUUUCAUAACCUGAAACUGAAAGUUCAUGUGAUGCCUCUCAUUGAAAAUUAGUUUUCUGGAAUAUGUCCAUUUAUGAUUAAAUAUAUUUCAAUUUCUGUUAUUCACAUGUUUACACAUGAAUGUAUGUUGUGAAUAUAUGUUCCAUCAAACUGAUAUGUAUUUUCUGAUUACAUAAUGCUGCCAUAGUAGCCAUGUAUGAACUGAUAUACAUAUUAUUACUAAAUCUUCUUUCUACUGAUACAUUCUGUAACUCAUAUAUAUCUUCAAUGCUGACAUAUUGGCUGAAAUAUAUGUGAUGUUUUAGUACUUUAGAAAGAACCUGUAUACAACAUGAAAUUUUGGAAUAAAAUUUUAACUUCCAUAGCAGUUAUAUUUUUGAACCAAGAUUCAUGUUUUAAGUUAUACAUAUCAGAUAUCUAUAAGCAUUGCACUAAAGAUAAAUGCAUAAGGAUGUGAUUCUCACAUACAGCAAAUGUUCUGCUAAUUUUAUCUCUAUAUAUAUGACUUUUUCAUAGUGUAAUUUCUAUAUGAAUUGACAUUGGGAUAUGCAACUAUAUAUAAACUUUUCUGGUAUUUCGGAAGAAUUGGAAGCUUUAUCUAUGUAUAUAUGCAAAUAAAGUUUUAUCAAAAUGACUGACAUAAGAUUGAAAGUUCAUUACAGACAUGCACUUUCCCAUGAGUAUCAGUCAGAUUGAACUCCUCAAUGGAUUCAAUUAUCAGAAAUGGAGAGGUGACAUUGAACUCAAUUCGGCAAUUCUGGAUUUUGACCAUGUGCUCAAGGAAGAUCCACCUGUUGAACCUGCUGCAAAUGCUGGAAAGGAAGUGAAGGAAAAGUAUCUCAAUUGGCAAAGGCACAAUAAGAUGGCACUGAUCUGUAUCAAAAAGAGUAUGAAUAGCUCUGUGAUGGGAAGCAUACCAGAUUCCGAAUAUGCAAAGUAAUACAUGAACUCAAUUGCUGAAAAAAUACAAGGUCUCCAACAAGGCUGAAAUAGGAAGGCUUAUGAACAAGUUGACUGGUCUGAAGUAGUAUAAUGGAGGAAGCAUCAGAGAAUAUGUAAUUAAAGGGGCUGACAUUGCAGAGAAACUGAAGACUAAAAAGAAGUUGAUAUAUGCCUAAGCAUGAGCAUCUACAGAAGAAUUUUACCCUCUAGAAACCCAAAUCAUAUAUGCCUAAACCCAAUUGUAUAAAAUGAACAUAUAUCAGAGAAGAAAAGCAAAAAUACCCAAUCGAAAUCAAGACUGAAAUUUUAGUGUAGAAUCCAAUCCAUAUUUACGAACUAAACGAGCAAAAUCAACGAAUCUACUCACAGGAGAUUUGUUCUUUCGACUCAAAGUCUCAAACUAUGAUCGCAUCACAGGCCUGACAGCUCUCACUGUAAAUGACUUAGCCUAAGAUCAAUCUUGGAAAUUAAAAACACACAGCACCCACUACCCAGCAAACCAAAGUCACUAACUUGAAUACUCUAGUCUCCAAAGUCUUGAUCUUUAGCAUUACUGGUAAGAAAUUAGGGUUCAAAGACUGAAAUUGGGCUUAUAAUUCAAAAGGAGAAAUAGGGGGAAGAUACAAACUUGUUGCCGCCGUCUUCGCUGACGUUAUUGCCGAACUGGAUGUGACGGCCGGCGAAGAUGCCACGUUGCGCCCGACCCAUGAGGACUUUGUCACCCACUUUCCUCAGCGCCAUUCUCACCAUAAACCCUAGGGUUUUGGAGCUCUGAGAUUUUGAGGGCUGCUAAUUCACUUCAUUUUCAGUACACAGACAAGUUGUAAAGGCAAAGCUUUCUAUUGAAAAAAAAAAAAUAUAAUAAAGUAAAAGAGGUUGGCAAAGUCCACGACUGAUUUGAAUUGGGCUCGUCCUUGAGCCCAAAAUGAAGGCCCAAAAUUGUUACCUUAUGUGUCCCUCAAACCCACCUCCUCCAAACCUGUGUUGUCCCCUUCCCUUCUUCUCUUGUGUCGUCGCUGCUCCGGUCUCUCUACUUCCAGCCGCAGCCGCAGCCACCGUCAAACCGCUCGAGUCCGAUUUGGGUACGUAUUUUCUCUUCUCCCUCUCUUUCUUUUAUCUGGGUUACUUUACUUUUCAACUUUUUAUUACUUUCAUUAGGUUAUUUUCGAUUGCAACUGACUGUAUGUCUGUGUCCUCCUUUAGUUUGUCUCUGAUAUUCAACCAAAUAGUUUGAGCUAAUUAUUGCCAUUGCCUUUUCCUUUUUUCGUUUUGGAAAUUGUUGCUGCAAUGGCAUAAUUUGUAGGAAAUUUAUAACUAAAUAUUAGAUAUAUGAAGGCUAAACCCAAAUCAAAUACAGUGCUGCAAAGCUUACACUUUUGUUUAUUUUCUGCAAAAAGCUACUAGAGCUCUGCGGUUGGUUUGAUUGCUCCUAAGUUUGUACCAACUGGCCUUUCCACUCUUAACUGGGAAGUUGUUGGGUUUUUGUGAAAUAUGAUUGGGGUUAUGGUUUUACUUUGUUAACCUAGUUCACUACGGAAGCCUUUGCCUUUAUUUUAUGUCAUACAUAUUGUUGUUGACUACUUGUUUGUUUAAUGGAUGAUUUUGAAGUAAACAUACAGCUGUUGUUCAGUGUUGUGUUGAUGGCGUUUGUAGUUAGCUAAGCGUAAAAUAGUUAUUUCCUUGGAAACUUGUACUGGUGGCAGGGUUGAGGUCAUUCCAUUAUAUCCAAAUUACAAGAUGACAGGCACAGAAAAGAAGACUGCUAGUUCACUGGAAGAGGAAGCGUAAAAGAAAAACUAUACAGAGUUAAUUUGAACUUAGGAGGCAGUAGCCCAUCGCCCUAUUUCAUCCCCUCAGUGCCGUAUGUAGUCAGCCUUCACUUUCCAGCUGUCCUCAUUAAUAUUAUCAAGCUCCCUAGCAGCCAUAUUGUGAAUGAGCCCUUGUGUUUUAUGUUUUUUGGGCUCCAUUUCAUUGAUCAAUAUUUGUUAUUUGGUUGCCAACAUCAGGAAGCUCAGUCAAUUAGGCACCUUCACAGCACCAUCUUCCAUUUUCAGCUGUUCCCCACUCAAGAUGUGUUGAGGCUCAUUCAUGUCCUAAAUUGUAUUUUGCUUUCAGGAAUAAGUUUCCUUGUUUUUGGUUUCAAGUUAUUCCAGCUUGUCAUACUUGUGCGUCAGAAUUUCUGGUUACCAUGGGUAUCUGGUUAGUUGAUUCUUGAUCCUUUGUGUAAGGAUUGCUACCCUAUGCUUAAGAGUUUUUUUGGUCUCAUUGUUCGCUAUCACUGAUAAGAGUAGUGAGUUUGAGGACUGUGGAGUUACAUUGGGGCUGGAGAUGUUGGCUUCAUGUGUUUGGUCAUACAUAUGUUGAAUUGUAUGGAAAUACUUUUUAUGUUUCCAGCAUAUAUGGCUUAAAUUACGACCACCAUCAAAAUGAUUGUCAUAUCAAGGCAUCUAAUUCAUUCGGUCAAGAUGAGUUCCUUAAAUAUAUUUACUGGAUCUAACUCAAAACACUCUCGGUCCUCACACAUCCUAGAAGUUCUAAAUGAGGAUUAUGAUGUCUUUGGUAUUAUCAUAUAUAUCUUUUCUGUUUUCUCCUUGAGUGUACAUUGUUGAUUUUGACAUCUGUCUCUCUACUCUUUCUUGCAGAAACUUUUGCUUAUCAAGAAGCUUCAGAAUUGAAAUAUGUCCGGUGGCCCUGGUCUUGAGUCACUUGUUGACCGUAUGGAAAUACUUGACAAUCUAUUUUUAUUGCAUUUAACUCUUCUGAUUCUUAUGCAUGAAUGUAAACUGUGUCAUAAAUUCACAAGUUAAAGCCUUCAAGGCAAGGAUAAGCUUUUGCAUCUUCUGUGUGACAAAUAGAUAAUCCAACAAAUAGACCAAAAAUAAUCUCACUCUAAUUGGAAGAGUAUUACAUGUUGAGCGUUUCAAGUUUCAGAUUUCUCUCUCUCUCUCUCUCUAAUUGUUAAAACAUUUCUAUUUGCAGAAACAAUUUCAGUUAUCACAAAUGAUGGACGCAAUAUUGUGGUAUACUUCAUGGCUAUGCACCUUUACAUCUCUUUAAUCAAAUUAGUUGUAUAAACUAUUAACAGUUUUGAUAUUAAAUUCAGGGAGUCUUGAAAGGCUUUGACCAGGCUACUAAUAUCAUUCUUGAUGAGUCUCAUGAACGGGUUUUCUCUACAAAGGUUUGCGUCUUUACUGUUACUAGCUUCCAAGUUUCAACUAAAUCCUUGUUCUUAUUUGAAAAUUACAUGAAUGAUUGGACCAAGAUAAAGAAAUUUAGGAGUCAUAUAUCUGGUAGUUGAAACAAUUCUCAGAUUUCCAGAUAACUGCUCUCUGAUCUUUGUUGAUGUAGUUACUUUUGCAUCAUUGCUAGUUAAACUGGUUUUAUUGUCCUACUGUUGGGUAACUUGUUCUUUCUGAUUGGCAGGAGGGUGUUCAGCAACUCGUGCUGGGAUUGUAUAUAAUCAGGGGCGACAACAUGUAAGUCUUAACUCUUUAACUUAUUUAAAUUAGUUUUAUGUGAGUUGUUGAGAAGUGGUAUAUUCUUUUGGUAAGCAAGUAUUUUCUGUUGGUUGGUUUUUGGUAAACAAGUUGUUCGUAUUGGUUGGUUUUUGGUAAACAAGUUGUUCGUACUGGCGUUUACAGAUUUUAUAGUAUUUGCUAUAAUCCAUAUCUUUUUAUAAAUGCAGAAGCAUAGUUGGGGAACUAGAUGCAGAUCUUGAUUCGAGCCUUGAUUGGUCGAAGAUGAGAGCGUAUCCUUUGAAGCCUGUCAUCCAUUGACUGAUCGUGAAAGCCAUAGAGAUGUUGUAGACUCGAUGGGUAGAUUAUGGCCAUCCAAACAAAUGAGUUACUUAUAGGUGUAUAAUGAUGGACAUUUGGGUUUGUAAUACUCAGUCGGGUUUCUAAUCUGUUGGACUGUCAUUCUACUUAUGCGCUAGACAAUGAACAGGUUAUAAUCCUUUUCUUGAAUGCUGAUGUGACAGAGUAGAACUUACCAGCAAGAAUAUGAGUGUUAUUCAACUACCCCCUUUUGAAUUCAUUCUAAAGCCUAUAUGUUUGGAUUUCUCUUAUUCUCUUUUUUGAUACAGGCUAUGUGCUUGGGUUUUUCUUUUCUCUAUACCGGGUAAAUUAGUAUUGCAAUAUCUACGUUUGUCGUUUGGUGUGAAAUUGUUCGAUGGUGAAGCUCUUCAAACCCCAGUUCAUUUGAUUUUGUAACCAAACCAUCAGUUCUUUAUCUUUCAAUUUAAAAAUUUCCAAAAGUUGAUUUUCCAAAUCAAACAGCCUUUAUCCGAACCUUUUGUGCUGACUUGUAUGUUUGAUUAUUCAUAUCAAGUCUGCAAUCUUAGUUUAAUCUAUGAGAUGGGGCAAGUUCUAAACAACAAUCUUCAUGGGCACGACACUCGAAUACUCUGUCACUGUCACCACCGAGGCUUGUCGAACUAGAUGCGCGCCAGCAUCGGUGGAUGAGUAUGCUCUAACCUCAAAGUGUCAUACCAGAAAGAAAGAAGCCAAUUAAGGUAUGAAAGAUUGAACAACUGACACUGAAAGACAAUGACAUGGCAAUAUGUGCUUGAAAUCAUAUGUAGAACUACUCCUUUGUCAAGGAUCUGCCAGAAUUCGAAAAAUAAUUUUCGCCAAUUGAAUGCACAACCUAAUGGAAAUGUUAUGAACGUUUGAUUGGUUUGGAGGAGUCUAACCUUAAAUCGACAUGACAAAAUUGUAAGAAAGUUACAAUCUAAAGACUUGCAAAUUACUGAGUUCUAAAUUAGGUUUCUAGCCAUAAGAUGAUCUAUUAAUUAAGACUAAUAGAACAUUCAUAAAACGCUAUUUAUGUCGCAUUGAACAAUACACACCUCCGGUUAAGAGUGUAAAAUCAUGAGGUGAGUCAGUAUAAAUGUGCUCAUAUGAGAGAGCUAGUACACUAAGUAUGAGACACGUUUAAAGUUAUAUGAACAAAAAGUUACACUUGUAUCUCAUAUUUCUUCGCUAAGUUAUCCCAUAUCAAAUGAAGAUUGCAAAAGAAGGAAGGCAGAGUGGGGAAGAACUAUAUCUCAUAGGUGUAAAGUAAUACAAAAGAUUCCCUUUGUAAGAAAAAAUAACCCCAAAAUGUUAAUGCGCCCGUGGACCCACUAAAGCUCGAAAACGACAUUAAGAUGUCACAAAACGACACGGAAACCCAACGGGGCCCGGAACUCACUCUCUCUCUCCACAUGUGGGCUGUUGGCCGCUGCUACCGAGAGACGUUAGAAAACCACACUCCGUCACCCGCGCCGUGACCGAAUCUCGUGAGUCGUAACGGCGGAGAAAUUUUGGCGGUAAAAAACACCUAACCCGCAUGACGUGUGAGUCCAUAAUUGGGUGGACAUGUAUGUAUGUAUGUGAGUCAUGAUGGCAUGGCAUGCUGUUUUUCCCGCGCUUGCGACAAUAGUUCAGGGUUUUUCCCCCAAAAAGAGGCCAAAGCCAAACCAAAUUAGAGAGAGAAAGAAAGAUAGGGUUUCCCCAAACACUGAAAGCUCCCUCGCUCUCGUUCUCUCUGUUUCCGAUUCGAGAUCCCCUUAAACGCCGUCGUUUUCCUUAUUGGGCCUCCCCGGAUCCAACUCCCUCCUCCAAGACUACAGAUCUGUGCCGGCGACAAUUCGUAAGCCUCUUUUUUUUUUUGGUCUUCUAAAGCUUCACGCAUUUUUCAUGGGUGGGUUGGUGGCUGGGUAUUUAUUCCUUUAGGGUUUCAUGUAAAUUGAUUUUUUUUCUUUUUGAGUUUGAAUUUCGCUGAAGAAAUUGAGGAUUUGUGUUCUGGGUUUUGCAAAUUUGACUUUUUUUUUUGGGGCAAAUUGAAUCUCGGGGUUUUUGGGUUUUGGUGAAUUGAAUUUGGAUUUUCGCGGUUGAUUUGGGAUUUUGAGAUUUUGGUGGUUCAAUUAGGGUUUAGAUGAGUCCACCUGCUGUGCUGAAGAUGGAAGAUUCAAAGACGGAAGCUUCUGCGUCCACCAAUUCGAAUUCGGGGACUGGUGAUUUGGACCCUGUCAAAGCUCGAUUUACUGAUUUCUGCAAGGUUUGGUUUUUUUUUUUUUUUUACUGUGAUCAGAGUUACCCAGUUGGUCUCUCUUGUUGUAAUGGCGCUGUGUCGAAAGUUUAAUUUUUCGAAGCGAUUCUCUGGAUAAAUUUAAAUGAUGUUAUGCAGAAUGGAUUGUCCUUGGAUGAGAACACGCUGACACAAGCUUUGAAGCUGCUAUUAGAAACAAAACAUGUUCUGAUAUCAAAUUCAUCAGCUAUCGGAAAUGGAACGGUACGUUUUUAUUGAUUCCCUAUUGUGAAUUGGACUAAGAUAGUAUUGUAUGGUAUGUGACUUAACUACAUAUCUUUGUGCAGCCUGAAGAAGCUGAGCGGUUCUGGUUUUCGUUUGUUUUGUUCUCGGUGAAAACAUUGAAUGAGAAGAGUUCCGAUAAUUCACAGAAGGCGUCUGAUUAUAAUGGAUUCUCUCUCAUCCAGAUUUUGAGAGCUGCUAAGCUCAAGUAUGUUGUUUAUCAAUCUGUGUUCCUUUUUUUUUUUUGUCUUGUAGCUUAUAUUGCUUGCUCAUGAGUUCUUCUCAUUUCGCUUUUUCGCUCCAGCGUUGUGGAUUUCUUUAAGGAGCUUCCACAGUUUAUUGUUAAGGCCGGCCCAAUUUUAAGUAAUCUGUAUGGCAUAGAUUGGGAGAGCAAACUUGAGGUACUAAUUCUCAUUAGAGUUCAGUCUCUUCAUGACGGUGUCUUCUAUGUAUCUUACUUUCCGUUUUACUUGGUCACUCAUGAGUUUGAGUUUUUAAUGUGUAGGCAAAAGAGUUGCAGGCAAAUUUUCUGUACUUGAGCCUUUUAAGCAGGUAAGUGCCCUUUAUUUUACGUAUUGUGCUGGAUGUGUUAGCAAGUUAUGACAUAUUCUGCUUUGCUUUUGAGCUUUUCUGAAACUUGUGCAAGAUCAGCAGUUAGGAUUGGGACCAAUAAAAAACUGAGCAUGAGUAAUACGUGUCUGCGUAUGUGGGUAUUGUUAGAUAUAGUGAUAAUUGCUUUGGUUGGAAACUGUUGGGCAUACUAAUUUUUGUCUGAUGGUAGUGGCUUGGGAUAGAAAAAUGUUAAUGAGGCUGUAAUGAAACUGGCUGACAGAGGUGGUAGGACUUCAAAUAGAAUAUUAUUAAAAAGGAACGAGAAAAACUUCUUUAGCAUCCCUGCAGAAUCUGUUGGUUUCAUCCUUAUCUAACGAAAAUCCUAUAUACAAUUUGUUGUUAACUCAAAAUUCUGUAUGCUGUGUUUUCUCGUGAAAUACAAUGUGUCUGGUUUGGUUAUGAGUGCUUGAAAAUAGGGACCGUGCUACAAUAAAAUGUUUGGAUGUGCUGUUAACUCAAAUCUUUGUUUUUGCUGUGUUUUGUCGUGGAAUACUAUGUUUCUUGUUUGGUUGUGAUAGCCUGACAUCAUAAAUUUUUAUGCUUUAAGGUACUUCAAAAAAUCAUAUGGGGAAUUCUUCGCCAGUGAUGCAACUGUUGAUAAGAAGUCAGCCAUUACCAAUGGGACUGGUUAUGUGUCAGAGUAUCAUAGAUUUGGAUGGCUGCUGUUUUUGGCCCUUCGGGUACACGUAUUUGGGCGAGUUAGAGACCUGGUGACAUGCACAAACGGCUUGGUUUCCAUAUUGGUUAGUUGCCGUUUUGUGUUAUUUUGUUAGUGAGUUUUGUAUGCUAUCAGAUAGUUGAACUGCUGACAUAAAAUGGAUUUUUAUUUCAUUAAAGAAAAAGAGAUUUUUGGCUCUCUGUUAGCUCUAUACUUCAACAAGUACCUUUUUUCUUACUGCUUGAUUUUGUCUUUGUACAGGCAAUUUUAAUUAUUCAUGUCCCUGUUCGCUUCAGACAUGCUAGAAUCCUCGAUUCAAAACGUUUUGGUAAUAUUCCACUUGGCUUGUUAGCACUCUUUCUUUUAUAAACAUUUUGGUAAUAUUCCACUUGGCUUGUUAGCACUCUUUCUUUUAUGUUUAAAGUGUGUUUGGACUUUUGAUCUCCACUUCUGUGUGCAUUUUUAAAUUCUUCAUUGGAUCUCAUUGAUUAAUGUCUAAUUCAGUGAGAAAAGGAAACAAAGGUGUGGACCUUCUUGCAUCACUUUGCAACAUUUAUGACACCUCAGAAGAAGAGUUGAGAAAAACAAUGGAAAAGGCUAAUACAUUGAUAUCAGAUCUCUUGAAGAAGAAGCCUUGUUUGGCAUCUGAAUGUAAAAAUGAAAAUCUAAAGAAUAUUGACACAGGUGUGUUGUAAAAGUUCCUCAUAUCUGCAAUGGAUGAUAAGAAAAUCUAAAGCUGUUCUUCUGAAAUCUGAUCUUGUUUGAUGCAGAUGGUCUGACCUAUUUUGAAGGACUUCUGGAUGAACCAUCUUUGUCAUCUAGUUUAGAUAUUCUAGAAAAAGAUCAUGAUGAUGCGAUUCGGAAUAAGGGUGAACUGGAUGAGAGAGUAUUUAUAAACGAGGAGGAUACCUUAUUUGGUUCAGGGAGCUUGUCUGGAGGGUCCUUGAAUUUAUCUGGGGUGAAGGUAUGCUUUCGAUAGUCAAUUCUACUAUUCAUGAAUAUGUGUUGUCAGAUCUUCUUUCUGUUUCCAUUGCUGUUGUUUCGUUUAUAAAAAGUUUGUUGAUAAUCUUAUCUGUUCUAUUAUGUUAGAGGAAAGUUGACUCAAUGGCCUCCCCAACAAAGACAAUUACAAGUCCACUUUCUCCCCACCGCUCUCCUGUCUCACAGGCUAAUGGUGGGGCUAAUUCAAAGAUGGCAGCUACACCUGUGAGCACUGCAAUGACAACUGCAAAGUGGCUUAGGACCUUUAUUUCUCCACUUCCAUCAAAACCCUCAGCCGAGCUCGAGGGUUUUCUGGCAUCAUGUGAUAGAAACGUUAGUAACGAUGUGAUACGCAGGGCGGAAAUAAUACUUGAAGCCAUAUUUCCAAGUAGUUCUUUGGGGGAUAGAUGUGUAACUGGUAGUCUUCAAAGUGCUAACCUCAUGGACAAUGUGUGGGCAGAACAACGAAGACAAGAAGCACUCAAGCUUUAUUAUAGAGUUUUGGAAGCAAUGUGUAGGGCAGAGGCCCAAGUUCUGCAUGCUACCAAUUUGACUUCUUUAUUAACAAAUGAGAGAUUCCAUAGAUGCAUGCUGGCAUGCUCUGCUGAGUUAGUCCUGGCAACACAUAAGACGGUCACAAUGUUGUUUCCUGCAGUACUAGAAAGGACAGGUAUUACAGCGUUUGAUCUUAGCAAGGUGAUAGAAAGCUUCAUUAGACAUGAAGAAUCACUACCAAGAGAAUUGAGACGGCAUCUGAAUUCAUUGGAAGAACGACUUUUGGAGAGCAUGGUAUGGGAGAAGGGUUCCUCAAUGUACAAUUCUUUGACAGUUGCUAGGCCUGCCUUCUCGGCUGAAAUUAACCGUCUCGGGUUAUUAGCAGAACCAAUGCCGUCUUUGGAUGCGAUAGCUUUGCAGAUCAACUUCUCUUGUGGAGGGUUGCCUCCAGUUCCUUCUUUACAGAAGCAUGAGACUUCCCCAGGUUUUGUAUAUAUUUUAAUUCUUGUUUUUGAUUUUUACAUGUUACAAUCUGAAGAACUAAUGCCCUGACAUUUUAUUUGGGAUGUAAGUUCAUGGACAUUGGAAAUAAAUUUCUAUCCACUUUGUGGCACAUGAUAUAGUAACAUGCUGAAGUGGUGAGUUCUCUUUAUUGUAACUUUUCAGGUCAAAAUGGAGAUCUCAGGUCUCCAAAGAGACCCUGCACAGAACAUAGAGGUGUAUUACUGGAGCGAAAUUCCUUUACUUCUCCUGUGAAAGAUCGUCUCCUGGGCAUAAGUAACCUUAAAUCAAAGCUGCCACCGCCACCUUUACAAUCUGCAUUUGCAAGGUACCAAAUUUUGUCCAGGAGUUGUAAAUGUAGUUGCUUCUGUUACAUUUUUUCCUCGUGGAAUUAUAUAUCUGAAAUUUCUUUUGUGCAGUCCAACACGGCCAAAUCCAGGAGGCGGAGGGGAAACAUGUGCAGAAACUGGAGUUAGUAUUUUCUUUAAUAAGGUGCGAGACAAUGUUCCAGCGCCUUUUCAAGUUUCAGUGUGUAAAUCUUAGAAAAUCUGCCCGGUUGACAUAUCACGUAUCUUUGAAAGUUUUGAAGCCUGUUCAUGACCUAUAUCACUGAAGAGGAUUUGUGUUAGGGAAACUAGUUCAUGCCAUUGAGGAUCUGAUUGUAUUUGCGUUGACAGUAUGAUUUCGAUUUAUGAGGAUAUAUCUUAAAUCUUACACCUAUGUGAAUUUCUUGUAUCUUAGAUUAUCAAGCUGGCUGCUGUGAGAAUUAAUGGUAUGGUCGAAAGGUUGCAAUUGUCUCAGCAAGUCAGGGAAAACGUUUAUCGCCUCUUUCAACAAAUCCUUGUUCAGCGCACAUCCCUCUUCUUUAACCGCCAUAUUGACCAGAUUAUCUUGUGUUGUUUUUAUGGGGUGGCCAAGGUGAUGUAACUUCUGCAAGUUUUCUAGGCUGCUGUUAAAUAAUUUUAUUCUGUACAUAUACUCAUCAGUUGUCUUCUGGAUGCAGAUUUCUCAACUAAGUCUGACAUUUAGGGAAAUCAUAUACAACUACAGGAAGCAACCACAAUGCAAACCACAAGUUUUCCGAAGUGUCUUUGUUGACUGGUCAUCAGCUAGACGCAAUGGGGUAUGGUGCCUAAUCCUUAGUCUCAUAGCUAUUCCAAGUUAAAUUCCUUUGAAAUUACAAAGUUCCUAACCCUUGACAUUUUCUGCAACCAGCGGCCUGGACAGGAACAUGUAGAUAUUAUAAGAUUUUACAAUGAAGUAUUUAUUCCUUCUGUCAAGACCCUGCUUGUGGAGCUCGGGCCUGCUACUACAACUACUAGAGCCAAUGUAGCUCCUGAAGCUAACAAUAACAAUGACGGUAUUUGUAGUUCAUGCUUCUGUUAAAAACUGAUCUCUAAUUCUUAAAUUUUGUUUGUUGUCUCUUCAAUACUCAUUCUAGAACUCCCUAAUAACUCCCAUAUUGUUAUCAUUGGCAAUUAGCUCAAUGUCCAGGAUCACCUAAAGUAUCCACCUUUCCAAGUCUCCCAGAUAUGUCUCCAAAGAAAGUAUCUGCAGCACACAAUGUUUAUGUCUCUCCAUUGCGAUCAUCAAAGGUACUUGUUUAGGUUUCUGAUUUUCUUUCCGGUUUCACAUAUAGUGUGCUGAUUAUAAAAUGGGUUCACUAUUUCAAUUCUGUUAUGCAUCUUUUGGGUUUUUGAACCACAUUCCUUUUUUUAUUCAGUAAUAAAUGAAGAACUACAUGACAUUAAUUCUUGAAGCAAACUAGUUCACAUUAGUUUUUCCAUCGCAUACCCUGUAUAUUCAGUGUUUAACUGAAUUACGAACUACUGCCACAUGAUGUACUAUGUAAAAGUUAUCUUUAGCCUUUUGCUUUUGAUAGGAUCUUGUUUUGAUAUUACUUCCAUGCAUUCUUGCUACGGUCUUUCUUUGGAGUGUAUUGACUUGAGUCUUGAAAUGUCUGAUUUUCUUGUGGAACAAAACUUUGGUUUCUAACUUUAAAGGUCUAGUUGGUUGGAUAUAAAUACCAGAUAUCUAUGUAAUGCACUUGCACAUUAAUAUAGAGUUUGAUUUAGGUGAUGCCAGUGAAUUUACACCAACUCUUUCUUGAUUUUGUCUUUUCUCCAUUUCUUCUUGAGUAUGAUAACAGUCCAUUUCUAAAAACAAAACAACAAGUCUACCUAAUUUCAGUGGUUCACAUAUUCAUUCAUGAUAAGCCGUUUCCUUUCCAUCUUACUAGCACUUGUGCAAACACUUUAUGACUGUAAGAAUACUGUUGUUUCAAUCACCAUCCCUUUAAUAGAGUUUAUUACUGUUGCUUUCUUUUUAUCUUACUACCUGAUGAUGCACGCUCUCAUUGUUUAAUUACUAUGAUCCUUCUCAAAUCUUGACACUACAGUAAGAGUUUCCUAUUGGUUGUUAUGAAGCUUAGUUACUUGUUAGCUAAUCUUCUCGAGGUAGAUAUGUGAUGUUUGCCAAGUAUCACAUGUGUCCUAUUACUGUAUUCAAGUUUGCUUUUAGAUCCUGAGUCUUGAUAAUGUACUUAGAAAUCCUCAAUUCAUUUGCGACACAUUUUGUUCAUUUUUGCACUGUUGAGUUUAUAUAUUUUGAGUCUAACUAUGACCCUGCCACAGAUGGAUGCCCUAAUCUCACAUAGCUCAAAGAGCUAUUAUGCUUGUGUUGGGGAAAGUACUCAUGCGUAUCAGAGCCCUUCGAAAGAUCUCACAGCGAUCAACAACCGCUUAAAUGGGUAUGCUUUCAGCACAUCGAUGAUUCAAACCAAAGUCUUUUACCAAAUCAAUGAUUUCAUAUAAUGAAUGUCUUCCUUUUUCAGCACACGAAAACGCACACUCGACUUUGACAACGUGGACGUAGGGGUUGGUUUGGUUAGUGAUUCUAUGGUGGCCAACAGCUUGUACCUUCAAAAUGGGAGCUGUGCAUCCUCUUCAGGUGGUCCAUCCAAACCCGAGCAACCUGACUUGUAGUCCAUCUGCUGUAUAGUUUUCGUGUAUGUAAAUCUAGGUUUUCUUUGUUCUAGGAUAUUUGUUUUAAUACAUGCUACUAUGUGUUUAUGACACGGGGUCCUGAAUGAGUGGCGAGUUACUGUAGAAUGGCCACCACAGACCCUUUUUUCUAAUGUAUGUUAGGUGUAGGGGACUCUUGAUUUAAUAAAAAAGUUUUGGUUUUCACCUUGGUCUUUUAAUAAUUUGUAUCCUGUUGAAGGAGGAAAGAAUAACAGUCUACUCUACUCAUUUAUUGAUAAAAAGGGCAAAAAUAAAAUGUAGGUGUUAGUGCAUUGAUAGUUUGGCAGACUGUGCGAACUGGAUGCAAUGAGAUUGAUACAUAAGACUUUAAGACUUCGAGUAUUGCAAUUGAGUGUUUUGGUUAUAGUUUUAUGUUUCUCUAGUAUCUUGUGUGUGAGUAGUUUUAUCCUUUGCUAAACUUAUAAUAAAUAAGCUAAAUGUCUAAUGUAAUGACAUGAUCCUUGUGGUCAUUGUAACCCGUCAUCCUGGCUUUUGUUUUAGAGUGCGGCUAUAAGGAUCUUUAAAUUUGCUCAGCAUACCUCUCAUUCUCUCUACACCUCCGUUUUAUUUUAAAUACAAGCAUUUGCUCAUUAAACCUCUUUUUAAAUUCCUAAAAUAGUCUUGUUUAUGUAAUUCACAUAUAUAUUAAUAUAUUACUCAUUACACCUCUUAUUCACUCACUAUACCUCUAAUUCUUUUUUUCUUUUUCUUUUUGAAUGCGAACAUCCAUUCCCGACUUACAUUUCUUUUAAUUUUNNNNNNNNNNNNNNNNNNNNNNNNNNNNNNNNNNNNNNNNNNNNNNNNNNNNNNNNNNNNNNNNNNNNNNNNNNNNNNNNNNNNNNNNNNNNNNNNNNNNNNNNNNNNNNNNNNNNNNNNNNNNNNNNNNNNNNNNNNNNNNNNNNNNNNNNNNNNNNNNNNNNNNNNNNNNNNNNNNNNNNNNNNNNNNNNNNNNNNNNNNNNNNNNNNNNNNNNNNNNNNNNNNNNNNNNNNNNNNNNNNNNNNNNNNNNNNNNNNNNNNNNNNNNNNNNNNNNNNNNNNNNNNNNNNNNNNNNNNNNNNNNNNNNNNNNNNNNNNNNNNNNNNNNNNNNNNNNNNNNNNNNNNNNNNNNNNNNNNNNNNNNNNNNNNNNNNNNNNNNNNNNNNNNNNNNNNNNNNNNNNNNNNNNNNNNNNNNNNNNNNNNNNNNNNNNNNNNNNNNNNNNNNNNNNNNNNNNNNNNNNNNNNNNNNNNNNNNNNNNNNNNNNNNNNNNNNNNUUCUCCUUCAAUAUUUUUUCCGAGGUCAUAUAUGCUGAAAACAAAAGAAACUGAAAGCAACAUCUGUACUUUGUACGUAUCCAAAAAAAAAAAACAUCUGUACUUUGUAUUUUAUUUCUUUGUUUUCCUCCCUUUGUGUUGCAAGCGAUCACUUAUGACUAGUAAAUGCUAGAAGUGGACAUAUAUAUUCCCAAACUCAAUCCUUUCAAGGUAGAUCAAGAUUUUCCUUUAACCAGGCUAAACUACAAGCCUUUACAUACUCUGUGAACAUUAUUCUACCAACUAAAUUAUGUAACUCGAUGAUAGUGUACAAGCCACUAGCUCCUAAACUCAGAAAAGAAGACAGAUCAACAAAAUUCCUUGGUGACCAUGGAAACCUAAUUCAAUUUACAAAUUGGCAAAUUCAAAUCACAACGAGAAACAGCAAUCAAGGCACUAACUUUUCUUUGGUGACCAUGGAAAUGAAAACAAGAACGACGAGAGGGUACGUAAAAUAUAAAAAUACCUCAGCAAAGUGGAGGAGUCUGCAACACACUGUGGUCAAGAGCAAGGAAAGCAAUGCACGGGCUCUGUUUGGACUCACAAAGAGAAUAAUACCAGUAUUGGGAUAAGAAAGGGACUCAGGCACAGACCUGAACAUAGUGAGAGACCUCUCAAUACUCUGAAACAGGAUAUUUCACUACAGUACUAUUGACCCUUGAAUGUAGUUAAGCCUUAAUAAUACAAUCUAACUGAUUGUUCGCAUAAAGCAUACUUUUACUGUUUAACCAUACAGUCUCUAGACUUGUACAAACAAGCAACGAGUUCCAUGUGAAAUGAUCAGGAGUGAUACCCUUUUCGACCAUUUGGAAAAGGAGAGUUAAAGCUUUCUGAAAAUCCCCCUUCUGGCAAAGGACACCUACCAAAUGACUGUAACUGUCUAUAUCUGGUAAACAACCUCUACCAACCAUUUCUUCGAGGAGUUUUAGCGCACUAUCAACUUUUCCUUGCUUGCAAAAUCCAUUAAUCAGAACAUUGAAAGUCGAUGCAACAGGGAAGUAACAAUGAACAAUCAUCUCAUUCAUAAGCUCAAAGGCUUGACGAACACACCCUUGUUGGCAAAAUCUAUGGAUUAGAUAGUCAUAAAUCAAAACACAUGGGACUGCCCUUUCCAGAAUCAUCUGAUCAUAGAGCUUCUUUGCAUUCUCUGUGGCACCCUCCUCACAGAAACCUAAAAUCCUCAAGCUCCUAUCAACAGCUCUGGGAAAUAGUUUACCCAAACUGGCAAGAAACUCAAGUGCUUCAUCCAAACGGUUUUCCUUAUACAGGCCAUAUAGCACACUAUUAAAAGGACUUAUUCGACCCCUACAACCAUCUUUGCUCUCAUUCAUCAAAUCCAAAAUUUUUAACCCAUCUUCAGUUCUUCCUCCUGAACACAAGCCUCUUAUUAACACAUCGUAUGUAGCAAAAUUCCAAUUGAUUCCAUCUGUUUUCAUAUCAUUAAACAGAUCAAGAGCUUUGUCCAACAUCCCAGACUCACAAAAACCCGAGAUCAAGACAUUGUAGGUAUCAACAUCUGGAAGGCAUCCCUUUCUCUCCAUCUCCUUCAAAAUGCGAAGACCAAGUUUCGCUUUUCCUAAUUGACAGAAACCCUUAAUCAAGGUAUUAUAUGCCACAACAUCAACCAACCCUCCAUUGCUCUCAACUCUCUCUAAAACCUUGACAGCCUCCAUCACCCGACCAUCAUUGCACAGAAGUUCCAACACCUUGGUUAUGGUGACAACAUCAGGCACAUACCCGAGACCAAAGCACUUGUCCAACAUAACAACCGCCUGCACCAAAUUCUCUUCUCCGCAAUAACCAGAUAUCAAAAUAUUAAAAGUCACAUCAUUAGGGUCUUCCAUCUCAUUCAUCAAGCUUCUGGCUCUCCCAACUUUCCCAUUCCUGCAAAGAGCAUGCAGCAAUGUGUUAUACACCACAGUAUUCGGCGCAACUCCCCUCGACUUAAUGGCUUGCAAGAGCUUAAAACCAUCACCAAUCCUACUUGUCAAGCAAAGACCCUUCAUCAAGAUACCAAAAGUAUAAUCAUCACCCUUGACCCCACUCGCCAUCAUCUUCUUCCUAUAAAACUCCCUAGCUAUAUCAAUAUCUUCCUGCACAAGCACAUCGAGUAUCGAGUUGAAAAUCUUAAGAGAAGGUUUCUGGUUAUACCUUGCAACCAAGUCGAGCACCUUGAUGGCUUGCUUUACCAAAUGGGCUCGGCCGAGGCCGUGAAUGAGCGUGACGAAAAUGUGCUCAUCUGGGGGUUGGCCAAUUGAGCGGGGCAUUUCGUCGAGCACUUGGUAGGCAGUGUCGAAGCGGCGAAAGGUACAUAGCUUGUGGAUGAGUGCUCGGUAAGUGGACGGAGAGUGGGUGAAGCUGGGGAGUGUGGAGGCCCAUUGGAAGGUGUCGAGGACCUGGGUGGCUGAUUUUUGUUCUAGCAGAAGAUGGGCAAUGUGGGUAUGAGAUGGAACAGAGAUGGAGGACAGAGUUCGUCGGAGAACAUGCGGAAGCUUUGAGAUUAGCAUUUGGCAUUGCAAAACUUGUUUGGAUGUCUGGGGGGAGUGAAAGGGAGGAGUCUCUCUAGCGGGUCACUGUCUCCAUAUAAAUGGCGCCAGCGAUCCGUCUCCUUAUUUGAGGCUUGACAUCAGCUUGAUUGCUAUUUGUUUCAUGAUUGUGAAACCUACCCCUUUUCAGUUGGUUCAUGACUGACAUGUCAAUUCUAAAGCUGCUCUUACACGAUUUAUAUUUUAAAUAUUUUGAAGAGUGGAGGAAUACAUGUCAAUUCUAAAACUGCUUUCAAGCACCUAGUGAGUCACCAAACUGUGAUUAUUCAAGACCAUGAUGGAACAUGGAAAUAUAGACAGACGGGGCACAUUUUAUGCAUGCGAGUCAUUCUAGUGAGUAUUUUUAAGUUGAGGACUUUUCGGUUUAUGAUUUAAAAGACCCAUUUUUUUAUCACAUUUUGACAUCUCAUCUGUUCAGUUUUUAAGUUUAUAUGAGUAGAUAAUUUUUAUAAAUUUUCAGCCAAAUUGAUGUUCGUUAAGAUAAUAAACUAGAUCAAAUUAAUGGACAAACCAAAUCUGUCAAAUAUGAACCGUUUAAGUUCAUAAUUGAUAAAUCACACUUACGAAUGCCUUAACAAUUUUCAACAUAGCUGAAAAUUUAGAAAAAUGAUCUACUUAUAAAUACAUAUAAACUAAAUGAUGAAGAUGUGGAUAUAAGAUCGAAAAGUGGGAUAAGCCGAAAAGUCCUCAACAAGUCCUCAACUUAAGAGUCCUCACUAAAAGGGCUUCCUCGUCGGCUAUGGUCUUUUACAAAAAAAGAGCCCUUUUAGUGAAGACCCUUCAGUUGAGGACUUGUCGAGGACAUGAAAAAGGUAGAAAGCAGUAGGCAAAACCAGACUGAACCAAUUGGUUGUUAAAAAUUAGAAUACAUUGAGACAACUACAUUCAAGAAUUCCUAUUGAUCCUAUUCAUAGGAAUCAAUUGAAAAUGCAAAUCCCUUGUAGGAGAAAAUAUUUUGUUUUAAAAAAUAAAAAAUAAAAAAACCUCUUUCCCCUGAUAUCAGAUCCCGCCACAAUGAAAAGUAUAGGCAUAUGCCCAAUUAAAAAGAGCAGUAAUAAGUUGAGGAGAACAGCAAACUGGGAAAAUCAACAGUGACAUCCCAUUAGAAAUUUCAUUACGAAAACCAGGUGUCCCUAUUUCAUAGUUUAUUUAAGAUAGCUUAGCAUGCCUGAAGAGCAAUAUGCAGAAUAAGAAUCAUCCAAUCCUAACUACCCAAUACUCUCACACCCAAAUUGUUCUCCUCUCAACCUCAAGUCAGCUUUACAGGUUGAAGCUCCCUUUAGAGUACUUAUAAAUAUUUGGCACACAUAUUAUAGCAUUGAGCCAACUAUUAUAUCUUAAUUCUGUGCGAAACAGAUACCUCAUCAAGCAGCUUAAUUCGGAGACAACCCCUACUUCCAUCCUUCUCUCUUUUUUGGCCUUUUCUCAGUUUUUUUUCUUCUUUUUUUACAGAAUUUCACAGAUGCUUAGGAUACGAUACGGUCAUGAAAUUUCAUUCUUACGCGGAUACCCAUUCAAAGUAAUGGCAGCGGGCGCCUCUGGUGGCAGUCCAGUUCCCACAGCCAAAGAAGAAGCUCCCUUGCUUUGGCCCGGGCUUCCGGACCAUUCCUCUGCUGCUCUUCACCCCACAGAAACAGAAUGGGUGAUGAUACUGGCAUACUGGAAUGCUCAUAUCCUUCAGUUUCAGAGGGUGAUGAGGCAGUGACAGGUGUUCUGGGGACUGCUUCAGUGUUGCUGGGCGAUCAGCAGUCUGCCACAACAAUGAGUUUGUUAUGGCAAAUUUGAAACCCCUACGCAUGAGGACAGAAAGUAGGCGAGCGGUGUUUUUGGCAUCAUCCAGGCCACAGUGAGCCCGUCCCUGCCAUGCUAAGCCUGCAAUUUGAACUGCCUCCUUCAAGUUGCACCUCAUGCCACCAAAAACCUCACGGAAAGGCACCUUCAAGUUGAUCCAUCUAUCAAGAGUAAGGAAACAAAUAUUAGAAUAAAUAGCUAACAUUUUGUUAAAGCUAAAGGAUUCUUUGUUUAUCAAAUGAAUGACUCAAACACGCAACAGUUACUCUCUCGUCCACAUUUCUUACCUGUUAAAAUAAGGAGGCUUUCGGAUUUUCUUAAAUCGACACUCAGAUUCCAACAUGACCCGACAGUCCCAGUUUGACCAUGUGACAACAGCAAAGUUGGUGUUCUUUAUCCCCUUCUUCUCAAGCCAUUUAUCAUGCCUAAGAAGGGCCUCAUUUAGAGUGACACCUCUGUCCACCUGCCAAUAGACAAUACAUCAAAAUAAAUUCAAAGUUUCACACUAAAGAGAAAAAAAAAUCCAUAGUUAUCAACCAUGCAAAUACAGUUUUUCUACCAAACAAGAUUGAAAAUUUCAAUCCACUAUGCGGGCAUGAGCUCUAGAACCUUGGAAGAAAGUAAGUUCGUACACACGACUACAGCAUGCAAUUUCACAGAUUAAAACAUGAACCACUUUUGUUUUAUUUCAGACAAACUUCAAUUCCAGAAGCAAAGCAACAGGAACCUGUCCUGGAGGGGUCUGCCAGCAACUUUUACAGACUGCCAUUCAGGACUCUUUCAGAAAGACAGCUUUGGAUCCGAGGGAUGGGCAAACGGAGGAAAAAAAAUGCCGUUUACAUCAACCGCAAUGUGAAACAAUGCUUUACUAAAAGCAUGCCCUCAACACAAGAAUUCAAUGUUACCAUUACCCUGAAUGCCGGACAUGUCCAAGGCCUUAACUGCAAAAACAAUUCUAAACUAACAGCAAAGUGAAUAGCCAUUGCAAUCUGAGUGCUCAUGUGAAAUUUAUGUUUACUUCUACUAGUCUUAAUCCACACAACCUAUUUACCCAAUAUGUAUUUAUUUUCCUGAAGGUUUAAAACAAUGUUGCGUUUCUCCAGCAACUAUUCCAAUCUCAUCCAGGACAUAACCCAACCCAUUUCCUCGAAAAACCUUUGUAAUGCAUGAAAAGCAAGGCAUGAAACCUGAAACAUGUCUUAAUCAAAGCAAUCAAUAAUACUUUCUUAAUAAAUAAGACAUUAAUAAGCCAUUAAACCCACACCUCAGGAUAAGUAGAGGAAAUAUAAAAAGCAGCGUAAGCAACAACCAAGAGAUUCUACAAGUUCCUUGUAAGACAGAUAUAUGUCCAAAAGACUUCAAAUGGAAAAUUCAUUGUAAACAAAGAGUCGUAUACACCUCGGUUGCGGGGUUUUCUCAAAAAUGAACAAUUCGGAACAGUGUGGAUCUCAUUUAAAAAAAAACAGAGAGAAAAAAAAAGCAGUUUUAAGAAAGUCGAACUUUCGGUCGAACCAGCACUUUGGGAUCCUAUGAAUGAAGCAUGGUUUCUCAUUGACUAAGUUAAGCUAAGUAUAAUUAUGACUAAGUUAAUAAGAGCUGACUCCAACUAAAAGAAAACACAGGUUCACUUCGUAGCUCAUAAAUUGAACAAGAAGCUACAGCUAGAGACAGAAUAAGGGAAUGAAAAGAUACAAUUCUUCUUAGAGGCUGUUUAUCUCACCAUUUUCUAAUACGUAUCACUUCUGAAAAAAAUUGAACUAUCCAGUGGGUUUUGGGCUUUUGGCUAUCAAGUUUAAAUCUCAUUUUGAAAGCUACUGGACCAAUUAUUUCUAAUUGAGUUUUGUCAUUAAAAUCAAUAUUUAUAGCGCCUUUGGAAAAGAUAUCCACUUGAUACAAGAUGGCCCAUCAGACUCCUAGAUUCACCCAAAAAAAAAAAAGAAAAAAGAAGACUCCCCGUACCCCUUCCACGCCAGUACUCACUUUCAGACCCCUUCAGUAUCUUCAGACAAUUUUUUCCAAGUACUUUACAAGGAAUUAGUCCUACUUUCCCACUGCUGUUGACUCCUUCUCACUAAGUAGGGACAUCUUCAAGCAUAAUUGCAUAAAAACUGCCAUGCAGCCACAACAAGAACUACCAUGAGUUCCUGAUCCCAAAUUAAAUUCAUAGCUAACUGGAAGAUGAAUUGAUCAAUUGACAAGCAUAAUUCAACAGAAAAAGCGACUAAUCGGUUCAUAGUGAUCAAUUUAUCACCCUCAUCAUUUGUAAACACUAAACAGAUACCAGAAGAACGAAAUAAAAAGAACAAAUUGGAAUAAACACAGAAAGACAAAGUCAUUGGGCACCAGUAGCAUACAAUAUGUACAACAGAAGAUCAAUCUUGAAGAUUACGCAAUCCACAACAGUAAGCCAAGGAGCAGCAAGACUAACUAUUCCAACAAAGAGGAAACUGGGGCUAAUAAACUAGUAUGAGUACAACUUAAUGGUCGAAGUACAUAAUAUACUCAACCAACAUUCCAUUUUCUGACAAUAGGCAAUAUACUGAUGAAGACAAUGAACCAUUAAGUUGUUUUACCUACAAUGCAUCUCAUUUUAACCCUAAACUCAAAGUAAAUGUAAGCCAAGUAGAAAAAACCUGAAUUUGCUGUAUGCCUGUCAGAUCCUUGCAGAAAUCACUCAGAAGAUGAUUGCAGGUUGGCCGCACAUAAGUCUGAAAACACGCUUCCAGUUGGCCAGUCACGCUAUUCACUAUCACGGAUGGAAACUCAAUUAUCUCUUGAGGGUGAGGAUUUCUAUCCUUAUCACAUGUAGCCUCAAAGUCGAUUACCACAAAAUACUGAAAAUCUUGGAACUGGAGCUCAUUAGGGUAGCUUUGAGCAAACACAUUGAAUGGAACAUAAUGAAAUCGACUGUCAACAGGAUUUUGAUAAAAUUGGCUCUCAAAAGAAUUCAUCUGGCACUGCUGCAACUUUUGAGAAUCAAAAUGAAAGGCUGACCAGUAGCCAAAAUCAUGAUGGUAGGUAGGUUUGUUGUGACAUUCAGUUGGGGGUUCCAGAAAUUCGCUGCCCAUAGGACGGUCCGACUCAGAAUUACCCCCACCUGGAUGGUUACUAAGUUCAUCUUUAUGCUCUGGAAAUCCUUCUAUGGGAUUCCCAUUACAUUGGAGGUUGUAAGGGAAUCCCUUACUUUGGAGGCAUUUUAAGGAAGCCUCACAGUUCCUUUGCAUAUUUUCUGCACCAGGAAAGAAAGGAAAUGAGAACAAAUCAUUGGGUAGUCCAUGACAGACGUAACCAUGAGAGAUCAUAUUCCAUCAAACAACAAAUAAAAAUGAAUAUUAAGCAUUUCCAGUAGACAAAAAAAAAAGCACAGCACAUAUGAACAAAGAGUAUUGCACAGAAAAAGAAUAAAAAAAAAAGGAAUUAAGAAUGAGGCACUAUACAACUCCAACAAAAAACCAACUCCAGGGUGUCCUAAAAAAGAGAAGGCCAGUGUUGGUACAGCCACAAUACACUAUCCCAUCUGUUAGAUCAGACUAUACAAAACCUAUUUUUUAGAGACACUCUGUAAAGGCCAUAUCCUCAAUUCGUACAUAGAAAACAUUAUAUCACUGCCUGAGGUCCCUUUGAACUUUUUAUGUAAGUGGAAAUUGUAAAAUGUAGUGCUACCUUAGACAUUAGCAAUAACUUUCCUUGACAAAGUGAGAAGAAGAGUUCAUAAUAUUCUGCGUGUAAGUAUGUUUUCUCAAUGUUCCAUCAACUUAAAUCAUAAAAACAAACAAAAGAAAAAAAUUAAGGGGAAAAAUAAAACAAAUACAUCUCUUUGAACAUAUAGGCCUGCCCUUUCUGGAUAUAAUUGCUAGAUUCAAUGUUAUGCCUAGUUGAGUAGUGGAUCUGCAAGUCCACUGCACUGCUGCAGAAGGUAAUGGAUUGUCGUAGCCUAAGAAAGAGCUUAGCUGACCUAAUAAUAAGAACUACGAAGGAAAAAAAAAAAAAAAAAAAAGAGAGAAAAGGAAAAGGAUUCCUGAGGGAAGGAAAGAGAAAAAAGAAAUCUAUAGGAAAUAUUACGGUUUUGAAGUGGGACCCCUCCAGGAACUAUAGGUUCGAACUUGAAGUUCCAACCAUUUCUCAAAAGAAAAAAAAAAAAAUGGAAUAGACAUCAUUUUGCAAUUUUGUUUAGUCUUUUUAAUUUGGUAGUAUAGAGCUACAUGGGUGCCCAGAUCUGAGGGGAGAAAACAAUUCAUUGGAGUGAUCAUGGUGGAAAAUGGCACUCCUCCACUAUAUUCAAAGGUGUCUCUAAAUCUAGGAGUUCAAGGUUUUUCCAAAAGAAAACAAAGAUUUAAAUUUAAUGUGCAAUCACUUGCUUUUCUGUACUGUUUUGUAAUAAAAGUACAGCAGCUACACCGCUAACCCUUACCCCUCCUACAAUAUACCUACCUUUAAUAAGGGUAACAAGAAACAUUAGCUAAUAAAAUGUCACUCUAAACACUUUUUUUUUUCACUUAAGAGCAAAAUUGUAAAGGGAAAUCGCGGAAUCAAAAUUGGGAAAAGGUAGCUAUUACAGUCCUUGAAGGCCUACAUGCUAGCAAAUAAUAGCAUAAAUUGAUCAAUAGAGAGCCAGCAUAGCAGUGGCACUUCAUAAGUUGGAGAUACAAAUAUUAAGUGCUCAUGUAAAAAGUCCUUGCAACAGUAUGCCUUCAUUGAUGGCGUAAGAAGGUAUGGGCUAAAUCAACAAAACAGUAAAACCAGGCGCUACCUAAGAAAAGAUACUUUACGGCUGAAAAAUAAGGGAAGGGUGAGAUACAAAAACUUUAAAUAAAAGUCUCCACCUCCAUCUCCACUAAUAUAUUAUCCUUUAAGCAAAAGCAAUCUACAGGGGGGUAUUAUAUUGAGGACCGGAAAUGGGACUCCUCAAAGGGACUGCAUUCCAAGGAUUCUCUAUGUUACAGUUUGACCUUUCCCCUGGGAGAAAAACAGUGAAAGAAUAAGGAAGAAGAUUAAACAAAAAUGGGGCUUCGUAUUUCCAAGGUUAUGCUUAGUUGUGUUGGAUUUGCAGGGACCAAUCUCUCAGUAUAUCUAGGGGUCCAAUGUUCUACUUAUUAUUUCACAAUUGUGAGUAGUUGAGUAUCCGAGAAAAGGGGUCAUAAUUAAUUAGCAAAACUUAAGUUGAGCUGCCUCGGAAGAAUGAACAACAUUAAAGUUCGAACACACUAUCUGCAGCAAGAAUAGAGGAACUUUGCAACUUUCAAACUCAAGAAAAACUAAGUUACAAAACCUGGCUCUAGUUUGUGGGAUUUCUGAUAUGAUUUCAUAAUUUUGGUAAGUCUCAACCAUGUAAAACACCUUUAUUCCUAAAAGAAAACACGUGUGGCCAUGUUUCUCCAAGUUUACACAGACAACCCUAAUUGCAGCAUACAGAGCCAAGGUUAGUAUCAUUUACUUUCCUAAACGACUCUUACCCCAGUGUAAACAGAAUCUCAGUCAAUAGUAACACAUCCAAGGAUUAUAAUUCCUAUUUUUCCACAUGAUAAGAUUCAAAACUUCAGCAUUCUAUGUCGAAAACCUCUUACGACCUUCACAUCUUGACUCCACACUACAAUCAAAACCUUGCAUUGCCCCGCCGACUGCGCAACCACAUUCAUCUAUUAAGUCCAUAUAUAAAAAGCCACUAUCGUCCACACCCCAAUGCCAAAACUCUUCUCCACCACACCUCCUCCAACCCUAAUUCCACCCAAUCAAGCUCACCUAACUCUUCCCAAACACUCAAAACCAAUAAAAACCGAAAACAAACCACAAUUCGCCAUCCAAAACAAAAUUGCACAAACAAAACAAUCACACUGAGAGAAUUGGAAUCGAAAUUUCGCAAAACUUUCACGAAAAUAAAAAAGAAAAUCGAACCUGACUGUUCAAGGGCCAUCAUGAUCUUUGGUGUAGUUGAGAUCCACCAGCACGUACAUCAGAUCUUCCUCAAUAAUUCCCGCCUGUAAUUAUCAAAACCCCAAACCAUUAUAAUCAGCGAAAUUAAAACUAAAAAUCCAAGCCGAAAAUCAUAAGAAAUUCGAGAGAGAAAGAGAGAAAAGGGACCUGGUUUGGUUAGAUUAGAGAGAGAAGAAGAGGAAGAAGAGGUGGAGUUGAGAGACGAAGGUGGGCUUAUAUACGAGUUGGGGCGCAGUUGGGGCCCACGCGAGUGAGAAACAUAUUCCGUUACGGGUUGCCACUUGUGAUGGCGGCAGUCGGUCGUUAGAUCUUCGAAACCGCGCAAGGCUGCGUCCUCAGAUAUAACUGUGAGAAUGCGCUUCACGUGAAUAAAACGAAAAAAAUCUUGGAAGAGAGGAUCGGGAUCUACAUGGGUGGAGUGUUGGAGUGCCCGACACGGUAAAAAAUAUGUUCGACACGUUACGUGGUGUGUCUGAAAAAAUUGAUUUUUCUGAUAAGUUUUGGACACCGGCCCAACACGUCUAUUUAUGACACACCACGUUAAUUUUUCACACUUAAAAAAAAGUAAAAAUAAAUAAAUAAAUGGAUGCAGUAGAGAUCCGUCUCGCAGUCGCACACAAAAAAUAGAAGAAAGUUAAAAAACGACGCAGACGAAGAAAACGUCGCUCAUUCGAUCUCUUCUCUCCGCCGACAGCCGGUGGCAGCCUCAAGCCUCCUCUAGGUUUCAUUUCCUUAAUCUUUCCCCAUUUGAUCUCUUAAGUUCUAAAUAAUCAUUGUUUCAUUGUUCUUAAUCAGUUAUCUAUUCAAUUGCAACUAAUGGCCUUUAUAUCUCUUACUCCAGCCAUGAGCAAGUAAGUUAUAUUGUAGAUUCAAGUCUGUUAAUCUCUAGCUAAUAGUCUAUCCGCUGAAAAAAGUCGCAAUAAUAUGUUAAUCUUUCCAAGGUCAGACUAUUUUUUCAGUUUCUGAUUAGUGAUUAUUUAGAUUAGUAAUUAAUCGAUGAGUUCCUUAUUUCCUGCAUAAUUAUAUGAAAUUUUGUGUAUAAUUAUAUUUUAGUAUCUUUUUUAUUUAUUAAAAAUACAUAAAUAUAUAAUUAUGUUUGCCGUGUUCAAGCCGUAUUAGAAACUCAUUUUUUGUGUGUUUUAUCAUGUCGUCGUGUCCAUGCAACUUAGAUCGAGACCGUCAGUUUGUGACUUUUGUGAAGUUCGACGGUUCAUGUUGGAGAUUUUUUUUUUUGAGAAGUUUGUGUUGGAGAAUUUCCCUAUUUAUUUACUAUAUAUCAUGGGCGCUGGUGUCGCUUUACUGUUCCUAAGGGAACAUUGGGCGGACGCUUUCGCCCUUGGUUCUCACAGCUAUUUACUUUCUUGUCUCCUUACACGUGUAGAUAUCCAUUAGCGCCAACAUACUCCUUUCUACUAUCACCACCGCUUCACACCCAUGAAUGAUAUUAACCAAUUCGUCUUGAUUUUUGCGUUUGAUCACGACAUUGCUAUUGUGCCUCACUUAUAUCCAUGGUAGCCGCUCUUUCUGCCUGUCAUUCGCACUUUUUGACUGCAACUAACAAUUCUCUUGCACUGCCUCUCAAUCAACAUCGGUCAUCGUCGACUUUCAAAAUUGGGUCCAUUCGGGAAGGAGAGAUUCAAUUAGUAUUUCGGGUAUCAAAUGUUUGCCAUGUAUCAUGUGUUUUAGUUUGUUUUACCGUGUUUGUUUUUUAUUAGCAUCAUGUUUGUUUUGUUUGAGAUUGCAAUCUGGUAGGCAGUGAUGAUUUCCUCUAUUUGAUUGUAUCGUGGAAAAGCAUAAAGUAUAAAUUUAAUUAUUUGAUUCUUACAACCUUAAUUUUGUCCACUCACUCUAACAUUUUUCAAAUGCUUCUCCACUGGGCCCUUCGAUUUUAAAUGCCCAAUUUAUAGGUUAGCUUAGUUGAGGUUGGGCAUGUCACACCCCAAUUUUUGAAAAUUUGGGCAUGAUAUAUCUUAAAAUCUUAUUAUCUAAAAACCUGCUCAACAACUUCCAAACUAUAAUCAAAUAUGUAAAUGUCAACAAACUCAACAACUGAGUUAAAUAUUAUAUCUCUUUAAUUACAUCAACUUCAAAGUCUAGUAAUAAUAACAUCGCUCACAUGAGCUUAAAGACAAAUUAUCAAAAUAUACAAAUAAUUGUACAUUGUCUAAAACCCAGCUCCUAAGCCAUCGCCUCAAACAUGCUGAUCAUCACCUACAGGUCCAACCCCUACACCAUGAAUUGGUGCACCGGGUUGUAAACAAACAAACCCGGUAAGCUAAAAAGUCCGUAUGAGUAACUCCCAAAAAUAACUCAAUCCAACAUCACAUCAGAUAAAACCAAAAAUUCCUGCUUUAGAACUUAGUUUAGGAAUCGCCUCAAACAAUAAAAUUCAAAAGAGAGUAAAUAAGAAAACACAACAAUUUCCAAACAAUCAAAAUCAUAAGUGAAUCAUGCAAAAAGGAUAGUUCAGGAAUUCCACUAAAAAUAUCACACCCCAAUUUUUGAAGGAUAAUUUUCAAAAAUUUGGGCAUGAUAUAACUCAAAAAUAAGACUCCAAUACUUGCUCAACAAUCCCAAACUAAACCCAAAAGCUGGAAAUAUAAAUAUCAACAAAACUCAUCACUGAGUUAUAUAUUACAUCUUCUUAAUUACAUUAGCUUCAAAAGUCUAGGAAAAUAAAGACGCUCACAUGCGCUUAAAAAUAAACUGAAUAAUAUACAAUAAAAUGUACAUCAUCUAAAACCUAGCUACUAUGCCUCUGCCUCAACCCUGCUGAUCAUCACCUGCAGGUCUAACCCCUACACCAUGAAUUGGUGCACCGGGUUGUAAACAACAAACCCGGUAAGCUAAAAAGCCUGUAUGAGUAACUCUAAAAAAUAACUCAACCCAAACUUCACAUAAAAAUAAAAACGGAAAUUCCUGCUUAAAACUUAGUUCAGGAAUCGCCUCAAACCAAAAAAUUCAAAAGGGAGUAAAUAAGAAAACACAACAAUUUCCAAAACAAUCCAAAAUCAUAAAUGAAUCCUGCAAAAAGGAUAGUUCAGGAAUUUAAUUGACAACAAAUAAGCAUUUUCAACACUUUUACAAAUAACAUGUACUCAUGAGAUAUUAAUAAAUACCUCUCAUGACCUACAACAACAAUUUGUGUACCCAUGGGUCCUAGAUACCAUAAGGUAUCUCCUAUGACCUACACCGACAGACGGACUAGAGCUCUGUUUCUAACCGCAACCAAUCACCAGGCCAAAGGCUUGGAAACCGGUUUGACUGUCCAAUAACAAAUCACAAAAUAAAAAUAACAUCAUAACCGUAACCAAUCACCCGAUUAAAGGCUUGGAAUCCGGUUUGACUAUUUACACAACAUUUCACAUAAGGGUAAAAUCAUCAUAACCGUAACCAAUCACCCGAUUAAAGGCUUGGAACCCGGUUUGAUUAUCUAAACCACAAAUCACAAUAUAAUAAAAUCAACAUCAACAACCCAAUAGCACAUCAUAAAAUUAUAUCCUUCCACAUAGAUAUAUUUAUAUGCACAAACCUAGAUAUCCCCACAAGAAUCAUCUAUCAAUAACCAAAAACAUUAUGACCACAUGAAUCCUUAAAAAUAAUCAUAUAAUAGGAAAACUUGUUUUAACUUACCUAUGAGCCGUUGGCGAUCAAGCUCAUAUAUUUUAAAACAACAAAAAACAUAAUAUUUAAAUUAUAAUCAUCAUAAUCAUCAUCAAAAUCAUUAUAAAAAAUCAAUCAUCAUAAUAAUUAUCAUAAUCAUAAUCAUUAUCAUCAUCAUCAUGCUCAUCAUCAAACUCAAUCAUCAUAAUAAUUAUCAUCAUCAUCAAAAUCAAUCAUCAUAAUAAUUAUCAUCAUCAAAAUCAUUAUCAUCAUAAACAAUUGGUUCCAAGUGAACCCUGGUGAGAUGUUACUCACCUCGAUAUCCCGCUGCGUUUCCGCAAAACACAAUAGCCAAGUUAAACCACAAUCUCACAAAUCACCUAAAAUUACACAAUUAAAAACCUUAGUAAAAACACAACAAGGAUCAAAAUACCCUUAACUUAAAGGUUGCCACAAAGAAGGGCAAUCCUUCCUCCAAGACCUCCCAAGGUCAUUGGACACUUAACAACAACCAUACUACCUCCAAGAUCAAACUUUUUAAGUUUCCGACCUAACGGACACCAUGAACAACUUAGCACCUAAGAUGCAAAAACCUAAUCAACACACUAGCAACUACAAGGACUAGCUAACACAACAACCAAAGCUCUCACACUGCCCGGACGCACUCCCAUGUGCCACCAUAGGCGGCGGCGAGUGAGCCCCAUGCGCCACCCCUAACUUCAAAAUUUGGGGAAACUCUCAACAUGAAACUUGUAGAUUGAAGCAUGGAGAACAACUUUAAUACCUGAGGUUUUAACCUAUGUUGCAUGGAAUCGGAAGCGGAAGCGUUUGGAAACGCGGAAGCGUUUUUAAAAAAAAAAUACUUGGAAGCAGAAGCGUUUUGGAAGCGCAGAAAUAAAAAAAAAAAAAAAAAUAAUUAUAAUAUAAGAAAUAAAAUAUGUAUUUUUACAUUAUUCACCCAACAUAUAUGUAUCCAUAUUAUUUAGAUAAUUAUGAAUAAGAUAAUAUUAUAGAUAAUUAAUAAUAGUGAAUAAUAAACAAAGUACUCAAACAUGAGUACAUGACAACACCCCAGUUCCAACACCCUAUUUAAUUAGGACCAUUUAAUUAAGCAAACUCUAUCCCAGAUUCCCACUAAACAACGAAGAGAAACACCGAAACACUCAAACACCCCAAUUCAAUCAAAAUACUGGACGAAAUUCCCAAACAACAAACCAUCUCUGGAACUGAUCGAAACUCACAGCCAAAGCACUAGUUCACACAAAAUUGGUACUACCCAGCUAACCCGACCCAUCGAUUUGCACCACCCAAGAGCCACAGCGGCGACGACGAGACUGGAGUGAACGACGGCGAGAGAGAGAUGACGACGACGAAUAUAGCCAUGAGAGCCAUCAUUGAAGUUUUUCAGGCGGCCAUUGUGUCUGAUGAUUCUUGAGAAUUGUGUGAAUUGGGUUUUUGAUUUGUAGAGGUAGGGAAGUCGGAAGCUCGCGCUUCCAGAUUGGAAGCUCACGCUUCCAGCCCGCUCCCAAUUCUACUUUUUCCGGAAGCACGCUUCCUGCCGCUUCCUUGAAGCUUACGCUUCGCUUCUGGUUCCGAAGCAGGAAACGGAGGACUCCCAGCGCUUCCGUGCAACGUAGGUUUUAACCAAUUUGGCCGGGAUCGGCCGGAAAAAGCCUCGAACACCACACCGAAACCAAACUUCCAAAUCUGCAUAACCGGGGUUCAAACACUCAAAAACCUGAUUCAAUCUAUGCCUAGUCAUAACCAGAAGGAGGAGAGGACCAAAACUCACCUAUGGUUGCCCCUCGUCGCCGCCGAAAUAGCCGGUUUUCCGGUGAGACAACAGCAGCUCCGCCGCUCCGUGGCGGCUUCUAGGCGACGAGAUGGCGAGCAAGACUGCCCCAGAAAUGGAGAGGGCGUCCGUACGAGUCCAACGAAACUGGCGGCGUCCAAUUUGGUGGUCGGAUGAGGGAGAACUCGACCGGAGAAGAAAGAGAGUGUGGGAGGGUCGGGAGAGAGGAGAGAGAACCCAGAACUGGCUGCUGCAAUUAUAGGGUUUCCAAAAAUAAUUCCCACAUAUUUUUCUACUUAUACCCUUUUCAAAACCGGAAACUAACUUCCUCUGACCAUAAUUUUCUCAUACAACAUCCGUUUUAGGCAUGCCGCAUGUCUACGUACUCGUAUCGACAAACUCUACAACUUUCAAGAAGAAAGUUUUCGAAGAUAACUUACGGAAAAUAAAGUCAACUUUUGACCUCUUAAAAGUUAAAGCACCUUAAAAUUUACUCCUGAACUUCAACUUCGCACAAACUAAAGAAUUUCCAUAAAUAAUCCGUCAUUAAUUAUAGGAAUAAUACAAGGAAAAUUUAUGUGAAAAUCUAGGGUAUUACAAAAAAUCACACAAAUAAGAUUGAAAAUCUCCUGCAUUAAACAUAGUUUAGGAGAUACUCAAAACAAGGAAUUUAAUUGACAACAAUUAAGCACAAUGUUAAAACCACAUAACCAAUACCUUUACAAAUAUACAUGUACCCAUAAGUCCCAAAUACCAAUAAGGUAUCUCCCAUGAUCUACAACAAACACAUGUACCCAUGAGUCUCAGAUAUUAAUAAAUACCUCUCAUGACCUACAACAACAAUUACCCAUGGGUCCAAGAUACCUUCAAGUACCUCCCAUGACCUACACCGACAAACGGACUAGAGCUCUAUUCCUAACUGUAACCAAUAACCCGGCCAAAGGCUUGGAACCCAGUUUGACUGUCCAAUAUCAAAUCACAAAAUAAUAAUUCAUCAUCAUUUUAUCAUCAUAAACCUUAUCAUCAUCACCAUCAUCAUCAUAAUAAUCAUCAUCAACACAAUAAUUAUCAUAAUCAUUUUAUCAUCACAAUUCCAUAAAUAAUUGGUUCCAAGUGAACCUUGGUGAGAUGUUACUCACUUAUAUAUUCCCGCUGCGUCUUCACCAAAAACACAACCAAAAGAGCCAAGCCAAUCACAACUUCACAAAUCACCUAAAAACACACAAUUAAUAACCUUAGUAACAAGAUACUAUAGGAUAUCACAACACCCUUAAACUAACCCUUAGCUCAAGGGAGGAUAACUUCCCAAAGUCGUCGAACUUAACGACAUAAAAAAAAACUGCCUCUAAUCCUCAAAACCUAAACUCAAACCUCACACAAACCUAAGAUUAAACUCAAAGUCCUAACAUGCAAAACUUGCUCAAAACCUAGAAUUUCCACCUCUCAACAAGCUUACAACAACAAGAGCCAGCUAGCCACGGAAAACUAUAGCCACAACUGUAAUACCCUAGAUUUUCAUAUCAAUUUUCCUUGUAUUAUUCCCUUUUUUAAUGAAGGAUUAUUUAUGGAAAUUCUUGGGGUUAUGCGAAGUUGAAGUUUCGGGAGUUUAUUUAAGUGCUUUGACUUUUAAGAGGCCAAAAGUUGACUUUAUUUUCCGUAAGUUAUCUUUGAAAACGUCCUUCAUGAAAGUUGUAGAGUUUGUCGAUUCGAGUUCGUAGACAUGCGGCACGCCUGAAACGGAUGUCGUAUGAAGAAGUUAUGUUCAGAGGAAGUUUGUUUCCGGGUUUGAAAAGAGUAUAAGUAGAAAAAUGUGUGUGGGAUGUUUUUUGGGAACCCUAAAAACAAAGUCAGCCUUUGUUUUCUCUCUUCCCUCUCUUUUCUCUCUUCUCUCUCUCUUCCUCUCCCAAGCUCCCCCGAACUCUCACUUUCUCCGGUCGAGUUCUCCCUCAUCCGGCCACCAAACCGGACGCCACCGGUCCCGUUCGACUCCCACAAGUGCUCUCUUCAAGGCUGGGCAGCUGCUACUCGGUGUGACACGCCGGAACCGGAGCUGUGUUGCCGGAAAGAAGGCUGCUGUGCCACCAGUCGGAACCGCCGUAUACGGCGGCGACGAAGGGCAUCCGUAGGUGAGUCUUGAUCCCCUCCUCCUCCUAGUAGUGUCUAGGCAUAGAUUGAAGCAAGUUUUUGAGGUUUUGAGGCCGAUUUUGCAGGUUUUGUAGUUGAUUUUCUGGUCACGGUUCGGGGCGGUUUCCGGCUGGUUCCGGCCAAAAUUGGUCGAAGUCUCAGGUAUGAAAGUUGUUCCCCUUGCUUCAAGCUUCAACUUUGCUGUUGUGAGUGUCUCCUAAUUCGAAAGUUUGGGGUGGCGCGUGGAGCCCAGGCGGCGGCGCGUCCGGCUGAGUGGCGGCCUUAGUUUCCUGUGGUUAGCUAGUCCUUGCUGCUGUGAGCUUGUAAGUGGUAGUAUGGCUAGAUUUUAAGUAAGGUUGGCAUGCUAGGACUUAAGUUUAUUGGUGUUCAUUAGAUCGGAAACUUAGAAAGUUUGAUCUUGAAGGUAGUUUGGUUGUUGUUGAGUGUUCAAUGACCUUGGGAGGUCUUGGAGGAAGGAUUGCCCUUCUUGGGGGCAACCUUUAAGUUAAGAGUACUUUGAUCCUUGUUAUGUUUGUUACUAAGGUUAUUAUGUGUGUUAUUUUAGAUGAUUUGUGAAAUUGUGAGUUGACUUGCUCUUGUGUUUUGCGGAAACGUAGCGGGCUAUCUAGGUGAGUAAAUCUCACUAAGGUUCACUUUUGAACUGAAUGAUUAUUAUGGUCAUGUGAUGAUGAUAAUGAGGAUAAUAUUGGAUUUAAUAAUAUGCUUUUAAUUGUUUUUAAAAAUAUAUGAGCUUGAUCGUCAACGGCUUAUAGGUAAGAUAAAACAAGUUUUCUUUAAAUGCUAUUUUGAGAUUCAUGUGAUCAUAAUUUUAUUGAUUUUUGGUUAGAUUAUUCUUGUGGAAUAUCUAUAAUUGUUCAUGUAAAUAUAUCCAUGUGGUGGGAUAUAAUUUAUGAUGUGAUAUUGUGUUGUUGAGAAUAAUGAUGUGAUAUUGUGUUGUUGAGGAUAAUGUUGUGAUAUUAUGAUUGUUGGAUAAAUAGCCAAACCGGGUUCCAAGCCCUUAAUUGGGUGAUUGAUUGCGGUUAAGUUGCUAUUUAUCAUUUUUGUGUUUGAUAUUAGAUAGUCAAACCGGGUUUUAAGCCUUUGGCCGGGUGAUUGGUUGCGGUUAGGAAUAGAGCUCUAGGCCGUCUGUCAGUGUAGGUCAUGGGAGAUACUAUAUGGUAUCUGGGACCCAUGGGUACACAUAGUGUUGUUGUAGGUCAUGAGGGGUAUUUUAUUAAAUAUCUGGGACUCAUGGGUACAUUUCUUGGGUAAUGUGUUGGAUGUGUGGUUUUUAAUUAUUGAUCCAAAUCUCUCUUGUGGAAUAUUGGAUGUGAUAAAUGUUGUGUUAUUGUUUGAGUUUACUCAUACGAGCUUUUUAGCUUACCGCACUAGGCCAUAUACAUCAUCAGACGACACUUUUCAGACGACAUAUUUUGGACGAUUUUGAGUUUUUGUCGUCUGAUUAAUUUUUCGACCCUUCAGACGACAUUUAUGAAGUAUAAGUCAUCUAAGUGCCAUGCUCCCUUCAUACUUCUGGAUGUUGCUCAAUUUUUCUGUGAUAUGCAAAAUUUCAGAGGGCAUAUAUAUGUAGUGUAAAAAAGCGACAUUUAACAACUUUAUGCUAAUACGUUGGACAACAUAUAAAAGUUGUCUGUGAAAAAAUGCGAAAUCAACUUUUAAUUCCCUUUUUAUGUACUUCAUCCAACAACAUAUUAAUGCCGUCUGAAAGAACCAUAAAUCUUUGAUUUAUACCUCCAUUUUGAAUCCUUAAAUUCACUUAUUCAGACGACAAACAAAUGGCGUCUAACAAACCCAUAAAAUUGAGUCUGGAAAGAUGCACGAACCUUGUAAUGUAUAACUUUAGACGACAUAUGAAAGUGGUCUCUCUGACCCUGAAAUACUCAAUUUAAUUAAUUAAAUAUUGGGUUUGGUUACCUUUUAAUGUAUUCAAUAAUACGGCAGAUAAAUGUCGUCUGUGGGAACCUGAAAUAUAAGUUUGAAAAAUGGCUCAACCUUUUAAUCUAUUCAUCAGACGAGGUUAAUAUGUCGUCUGUAUGAACUUGAAAUAGUCAAUUCAUUUGAGUUUGGGAGAGGGCGCCAGCGUUAAUGUAUUCAUUGCACAGCAUAAAAAUGUCGUCUGGACCUGAAAUAUUUGAAUUUGGGCGCUAGAGUUUUCCCUCACUUUUCUUCAAUGUGAGACGGCGAUUAUAUGUCGUCUGAGGUUGUAAAAUAAGUGGUCAACAUAAAAUGUGCAUAUUUUCCAAAUGGAAACUCCCUUAUCUCCUCCGACCAAAACUUAUAUUUUUGAUUAACCGGUUUUCAAACUCCCGUUAAGAGUAGGAAAACAGAUCUAUGUAAUAGUUUGGACACUUUGAUGAAACGAUGAUGUACUUCUCCUUGUGGAAGCUAUAAGAAAGUUUAUCUAUAUAUGAAGUUGACUCUAAUGAUCGAGACCUAUAAGUUAUUGAAAAUGGGUAAAUUUUCAUCUACAUACAUAUUUAUGUACUACAAUCAUAUCCAAUGGUCAGAUUAGGUAAAUUUUCUCUCUUGUAUAUAGUUGCCUUAUAAAGAUGUAUGUUUACAAAGAACUUAGUAAACAUGUUAUAGCACAUUAGUACGCAUGUUGUGAUUCGAAUGACGAAAAUAGAUUUUUUUAAGUUUGAGUGUCAGAUGUUAUCAUGAUAGUGAAUUAUGGAUGUAGAACAAAAUUCAUGCAUUUUCGAUAAAGUUCGCGUCUCGGUCGAUGCGGUCAACGUUAAUCGAAUCUUCCUUAGUAACUUCAGAUGACAUAUAUAUGUCGUCUGAGCAAUAUUUUUAAAAGUCAACACUUUUAUCUAAAUGAAAACGCUCUUAUCUAGACCAAACAAUACUUAAAGUUGGGAUUCGUCAAUUCUUAUACCAUCAUUUAGUGUCAACGAAAUUAUUUUAUGCGAACAUUUAGACCCGUUUAUCGACCAAUCAUAUAGCUCCCCAUGAGGAAGAAUAGAAACGUUUAUGUAUAUAUGAAGUUGACUCUAAUGAUCGAGACCUAUAAGUUAUCGAAAAUGGGUAAGUUUUCUACCACAUACUUAUUUAAGUACUACGAUCAUAUUCAACGGUCUGAUUAGGUAAAUUUUGUUUCUUGCAUAUAAUUGCCUUAUAAAGAUGUAUGUUUAUAAAUAACUUAAUAAACAUGUUAUUGCACAUUAGUACGCAUGUUGUGAUUCAAAUGACGAAAAUAGAUUUUUUUCAAGUUUGAGUGUCAGAUGUCAUUAUGAUAGUGAAUUAUGGAUAUAGAACAAAAUUCAUGCAUUUUCGAUAAAGUUCGCUUCUCGGUCGAUGCAAUCAACGUUAAUCGAAUCUUGCUUAGUAACUUCAGACGACAUAUAUAUGUCGUUUGAGCAAUAUUUUUAAAAGUCAACACUUUUAUCUAAACGAAAACGCUCUUAUCUAGACCGGCCAAUACUUAAAUAUGGGAUUCGUCAAUUCUUAUAUCUUCAUUUAGUGUCAACAAAACUAUCCAAUGUGAACAUUCUAACAUGUUUAUCGACCGAUCAUAUUGCUCCCCACAAGGAAAAAUAGGAAAGUUUAUGUAUAAAUGAAGUUGACUCUAAUGAUCGAGACCCAUAAGUUAUCGAAAAUAGGUAAGUUUUUUACCACAUAUAUAUUUAACUACUGCGAUUAUAUCAAACGGUCAGAAUUACUCUCGGUUUAUUUUUCGGACACCCGGAUCAUUUUGUACAUAUUUUUAACUUAUAGCCUAUUUAAAAUUAUAAUUUCUAAUCUAGAAACCUAUCAUUAAAUCUCAGUCUUCUAUUCCAUCUCUUCUAAUCUGAACCAUUUACUCAAGCUUCAAAACCUAAAAACCCUAACUCUUCUUUCAUUAUGUUGAACGCCUCCCUCCCCCUUUCUCUCUUGUUUCUCUCUUCUCUUUCGAACUCGAAGAGAGAAGUUAAACCCAAUCAGUAAUCUUAUUCUUCUAUAUAUAAAUCCAAUCCUAUCAGAUGCAGCAUCUAAUUUCCUUGAGUCUAAUCUUUCGUUUGUUAUUUCAAUCGUAUCGGAUUCUCUGUUCAAGUCUAUUCAGUUCGAGGUAUGCAGCAGGCUGAUCAAUCGGUGUUGAGCUUGAGACCUGGUGGUGGUCGUGGCGGUCCUAGACUCCUUGGUCCUCGCUUUGACUCUUCUACUGCUGCGUCUUCUUCUCUUGCUUUCAAGUCCUUCUCUUAUGCCUCCCCCGGUUCCCAAAAAGCUCUCGUCCCAGGAUAUUGACUCCUCUCAAUCUCAACCCGCCACCCUCGGAUCUCUCUGGAAUCGGGUAUUCUUCGUAUUCUCUUUUUUCGAUCAGUCUCUAAAUCUUAGAUUCGCACUUAUUAGUCUAACAACAUGUAUGUUCCUAUUUAGGCUGGAACUUGGGAGGAGAAGAAUGUCAAUAAAUGGGCGACGGAUACAAUAAAGGUACCCUUUUGUUGAGCUGCUACCUUCUUCAUUAUCAUUGCUUUAGCUUUGAAAUUAAAUGAUUAGCUCUUUUGCAGGAGUUGCUUGCAUCAGUGGGUUCCAUGGAGUUCCAAGGGGGCAGUGCAGAAAUAUCAGAUGUCUCAAAAUGCGUAGGGGAUGUGGGUCUUAAUUAAUUUUGUCAUUGUUAUUGUAUGCCAAAUUCCAUUUAUGAGAAAGCUGAUUCUAGGAAUUUCUUUUCAUUCCUAAAACAUAUCUAUUGUUCCAGAGCUUUGGAUUUAUCGUAUUCAAUUGUCAUGCUCACUAAAUUCACCGUUCCAUUUUGUUUUUCUUCUUUUCCCUAAUCUUUGUCAUGUUUCAUUCCUUAAUUAUGUUAUUUCAGUUGAGACUAGAGGUUAUUAUCCUGUUGAGUCUGGUGAUACAGUACUAGCCUAAUGACUCAUCAUCUCUCACGAGUUGAUCUUUACUGAGUGAUCAGGCAUUCUUGGUGACUGUGUGAAACAAGAAACGUGUCAGCUACACAUAUGAACUAACCCUGAAAUUCAAAGGUAAUUGGCUGCAUUGUAUAAAUGUUUCUUUUCUUCUUUCUCUAUGGUUUAUCUGAAAUUUACAUUAUCAGGGGAAUGGAUUACCGGAGAGGAGAAAAAGAUGGUCAAGGGCCACAUAGACAUCCCAGAUGUUCCAAUGGUAAGGGUUGAUAUUAUACUUUCUAGUUUAUAUGGGGAAGCAUUGUACGUCUGAUCUGGUACUACUUAUAUGUCGUAGUUGGAAACUUUACUUUACAAAGUCAUCCAAAGAAUGUGCCUGAUUUAUAUAUAGUAAUGUUAUCUACAAAUAUUUUAACUUCUAAUGUAACUUGGAUCAUUUUAUUCUUUUGGCUGCAUCAGUUGGUAGAGUCUGUCUAACCAAGGUUGUCAAGGAAUUCAAGAAACGCAUUUCCAGCCAACAUGAAUGGGUAUGAUGGUCUUUCUCCAUUAAACUAUUCCUUUCCUUCUUAACGUUAUUGAUACUGCCUAUUUUAAAGAAAUUCUUACAUAUUGCAUGUACUAGUGACUCGUGUGAACAUAAAUUUGGUUUUCCCUUUUCUUUUUAUCAUCUAUUUGGCAGAUCAGUUCUUGCAAUGAGAGUGGAACUUUGGCAGAUUUUUGACAGGACAUAGGAGAAAGGAAUGUGAUUUAAAGUUGCCGGAGGAGCAAUGAAAAUGUAGUUGUAUAUAGAUUAGGACAAGUUGGUAUUGUAGCUAUUUUCAUGGAUUCCUACACUUCAAAUGAUUUUGUGAAGUGGAUUAUCAAAGUUCAAUGAAGUGUUUCUUUUGUUCUUUUAUUCUUGGUUUUUCUUUAUAUAUGAAGUUCAAUUUAUAGCGACAACAUAUAUGUGUUUAUAACAAGCAACAUAACCUCAACACAAAUAUGCAGUGUGAGCUGGAGUCACAAGACAAAAUGUUGAUUGAACGUUUUUUAUUUUUCAAUCACACGACACUUAAAUGUUGAGUGAAGCACCUCGGCACGACAAAAACCAUGAUAAACUAUGAUAAUGCUUCUUUCAGACAACAUUUAAAUGUGGUUACAUUGUAGAGUCUAAGCGGAAAAGUUAAAAGUUUGUGGUAGGAAUAGAAUUGAAAGUACAAUUAAAUGUCGUCUGACAGAACAACUAGCAAAAUGUAUAAUAGUUUACAAAGUUAGAUGACAGAUAAGUGACAUUAGAUCUUCUAUAUAACCACAUAUAUUACAAAUUUUUGACGUUGUAAGCUCACACACUCAACACUUUAUUGAAGUGUGAUUAGAUAGAAAAAUCCAAUAAAUCAAAUUAUUCUUCAAUCAGUCCACACUUAUAUGUGGUAGGUAUACAAAACAGACGACAUUUGAUGUGUCUUGUGAUAUGAUAUUACAAUUUUUUGAUGUUGAUUUAGUCCACACUUAACUGUGAUGCGUUUACUGAAAUUUUUCAAUCUUCUCUCUUCUCAGACGACAUAAGAUAUGUCGUGUGAUGUCGUAUCAGACGACGGCUAUUCUCCGUCGUCUGAUAGUCCAUCACUCGACAGCUCCUCAGACGACAUAAAAAAAAACAUCAGACUACAGACUUGGACUGUCGUCUGAUGAAGUAUAUGGCCUAGUGCCGGGUUUGUUGUUUACAACCCGGUGCACCAUUUCUUGGUGUAGGGGUUAGACCUGCAGGUGAGGAUCAGUAGGGUUGAGGUGGAAGAUUAGUGGCAGGGUUUUUUUUUGUUGGGUUUUGGUUGUUCAUUGUAUAUUCUUUUUUUUUAUACAUUGGGAUAGAAAUUAUUAAACUCAUGUGAGUGUUUCAUUUUCUUGUCUCUCAAGUUAUGUAAACAAGGAAAUAUAAUAUUUAACUCAAUUUGGAGUUGUGUGUAAAUUUACAUUCCGCAUUGAGUUUAUUUUCCUUGAAUUUUGUUGAAACAGGUUUUGGGAUAUUAAUAUUUUAAGAUAUAUCAUGCCAAAAUUUUAAAAAUUAUCUUUCGAAAAUUGGGGUGUGACAACAACACAGCAGGACGCGCUGCCACGGGCCGCCAAUGGCGGCGGCGAGUGAGCCCCACGCGCCACCACCAACUUUCAAAUUUGAGAAAACUUACAACAGCAAAGUUGAAGCUUGAAGCAAGGUGAACAACUUUAAUACUUGAGGUUUCAACCAGUUCGGCCAAAAAUAGCCGAAAAACGCCACGAAACACCAACCCGAAUUCAAAAUCCAAACCUGCAAAUCCGGCGCCCAAACUUGAUUUUUAGGUCACCAAAGAGGUAUAAACAUCUCUAGAGGAAGGAGAGGAGCAAGACUCACCUAACUCUUACCGAAAACGCCGUCGAAAUCGCCGGAUUUCCGGCGAUACCGUAGCAUCUCCGCCACUUUAUGGCGGCAUCUAGGCGGCGAGACGGUAGGCGGUGUUGCCCCAGAAAUGGAGAGGGAACCUGCACGAGUCGAAUGGGACCGAUGGAGUCCGGUUUGGUGGCCGGAUGAGGGAGAACUCGGCUGGAGAAGAGAGAGAGCUCGGGAGCGUCGGGAGAGAGAGGAGAGAGAGAAGUGAGCUGACUUUUAGGGUUUCCAAAUUAACCCACACACAUUUUUCUACUUACACACUUUCCAAACCCGAAAACUAACUUCCUCUGCCUAUAACUUUCUCAUACGACAUCUGUUUCAGGCGUGCCGCAUUUUUACGAACUUGUAUCAACAAGCUCUACAACUUUCAAGAAGGAAGUUUUCGAAGAUAACUUACGGAAAAUAAAGUCAACUUUUGGCCUCUUAAAAGUCAAAGCACCUUAAAAUUUACUCCCGAAACUUCAACUUCGCACAACUAAAGAAUUUUCACAAAUAAUCCUUCAUUAAUUAUGGGAAUAAUACAAGAAAAAUGAAAUGAAAAUUUUGGGGUAUUACAGGGAAUACAUGGAGUUGAGGCAUAGUUAAUACUAUAGCUUCCGCUUAUUUGUAUAUAUAUAUAUAUAUUUUUUUGUUUUUUUGUUUUUUACCAUUAGAGUUGCUAUGAAAUAAUUAUGAAUGUUGGUUAUUGGACUAUUUUUUUAGAUUAGUAAAUAACUUGAGAGGUUUUGUGAAUUUGGGGAGUAUGAAGGCUCCAAGAGUAUAUAAGGUUGGAGUUUGAUUUUUAGAAGUGUUUGAAAAUGUUUUUUUUUAAUUUUUUAGGAAGGGUUGUCCAUUUUCAAGGGAGGUUAUGCCGAAUUUUUGGUAGCAUCUUUUUUGGAGGUGGUCCCGGUAGAGUUCAUUUCGGGGUGGUCCUGACAAUAUUUAUUGUAAAGUAAUAUAAGUUUUGAUGGUAAAGUAUUAUGGUGUGUUUGGAUACGGGUGAAUUCCUAGGAAUUUAAUCAAAAAUAAGGAAUUCUUAAUUUCUCAAGACUCUUUCCAUCGUUUGGAUUCUUAUUCCGUAGAAUUUUCCAUGGGAAAAUAAUCGUGGAAUUUGGGGGCUUAAAUUCCCGACUUAAAUUCCUCACAAAAUAGGCGUCAUUUGUCAAUUCUUUUAACUCAUGUUAGUCUAAAUACAAAUUCUUGUCAUUUUAAAACUCUACAUCAUAUAAUCCAAAGAAUAGAAUUUCCAAUUAAUAGAAUUUAAAUUCAAGGAAUUGUAAUUCCAGUGAUUUUAAAAUUUCUAUAGAAAUUGAAAUUAUUUUAUCUAAAUACAACAAAGUAAUAUAUGGUUAGUGGUAUAUAUUAUUUCAUUGCAAAUUAGCUAUGUUAUAUGAACUGAUACUUCAUUCAUUAGCUCUGCAUGGUAACUAGAGUGCUUAUAUAUAUUUUUUAAUGUUCCUUGUACUUAUUCACUGCAAUGUAAAAUAUUAAAUAUAUGAAUAUAUCUUAUGAUCAUUUCAGUUUAAGGACAAGACAUACAAUCAACGAAAUAAUGAACCAAGUAGCUUUAGAUUAUUAUACAUUUCAUUCUUUUCAGUCAUUUGAAUGUUGUUUCAUUAUCUAAGCUAUUAAGUAGAAACCAAGUAGCUCAUACUGAAUAUAAUAGGAUGUACUAAACCAGUUACCACUUUGCUGUUUCAAUCAUAUUGAUAAUGAUUUCCAGCAACAAAAGGCUUUGUUUUUUUUAAGAAAAACUUACUAAAGCAUUGUUAUAUUCAGUUUGGCAGGAGACACUUGAUGAGUAAAUGGUGGAUAUUGAGUUUGGUUAUGAAGCAGGAUGUAUCAUAGUACACCAUUACAGUUAGGAGGACUUUCUGCACUCUAGUGUACACCCACCAUUGUAGUUGCUUGUAUUUGGUUUGAUGUCUCUUUUUUGUAGUUUUUCAAGUUAUAUAUGGAACGACAAUUGUAGAUGUAUUAUAGGUCUUUUGAGAAAUAUUAGUAUAGAAAUGGAUCAAACACAGAUAGAACAAGUAAUUUCAAUGGCUUGGUGCAAAACCUCAAUGAGGGAAAAAGCACCAAGCAUGAUUAUUCCUUUAAUCUUCAAAAGAUUACAAGUGGUAAUUCUCACACAAUUACACAACUCAUACAAUGUUUUCUCUUCUUACUUCUCACACAAGUAACUUAAUUCAAGUAGCUCUAUCAAGUGAAAUUGAAUUGAAAUUCUGAGAUCUCACUCACUCAGCUAUACUAGUUCUCACACAACUAAUACAUACUGCAACUAAUUCUCACACAAUUAGUCUUUAUACAGCAACAACUAAGACUCAAACACUCUUACUUCUUCUCUCAGAAUUUAUCGCACAUCAAGAUGAUACUCUGAUGAAUAGCUUGAUUCUUUAACACAACCAGUUUCUCAGCUUCUUUUAGACUCGACUUCUCAGUAUGUUUUUGUUCUCAAAACUCAAAUGCAACCUGUAUGCAAGUAAGAAAAGAGAAACUCAGUCUAUCUUAGAUAUACACAAUCUUAGAUAUACACAAGUAGUUUGUAAGAUGAGCAUGAACACACAAUUAACUUAGAGACAAUGCUUAACACAGUUUUUUCUCAAUCAUACCAAAAAGCUUAUCUUUCUAAGCACAACAGAAGCAAUUUAUAGAGUGUGAAACACUCCCCCUUAACUGAUGCCUUUCAAUGACAAGAUCAAAUUUCGUUUAUGAAAAUAUGCAAUCAGUCCACCAACAGUUUGCACUUUCCAAAACGCAUAUACCAGUUUCAUGCUAUAACAUAACCAUUAGAUAAAACAUAAAUCAUUUUCUUAAUCACCUGAGAACAAUGAUUAUGCAUAUAGAAUCAGACAUGUUUAUGCAGGUACUGAUAUGUACAUUACUGAUAUGGAAAUAAGAUAUCCUGCAUAUUAUCAAUUAAUGUUUCCGAAAUGGAAGUCUUUAGAAAUAAGACUUUUCCAAAAUUUCAUCAUUCAAAAACUUAUCAACUUGAAAGCCAGAUCUACUUACCAUAUAUGAGAUAUUAAAAUCUCAUUACCUUGAUCUUUUGACAUGAUACCUUUGAUUAUAUCUUUGAACUAGACUUUAUGAUUUUUCUUGAUAUGAAAUCUUCUUUCCUCUUUUCCUUCCUUCAUUAGGAGUCCUUGUGUUGAAUAGGAAUAGCCAAUAUGCCAACAUUUUCCCCCGUUGGCAUUGCUAUUCAACACAAGAUCAAGACCUGUAAAACAGACACAGAACCAACAUAUAUAUACAGAAAGGAAAGCAGGCUUAAAGAUUUUCGAAUUAGUAUCCAUCAUUUUCUCAAUCUUCAAGAUAAAAAUCAAAAGAAGACACAAAAUAAUAAAUGACUGCAUGCAUAGUUCAAAGAAAACACAAAAUAUGUCUAGUGCUUAGGCACUUUUACAAACUAGAAAUAAGAUUUGAUGUUCUAGUCAUCGAAAAUCAAAAAGCAGAAAAUAAAACAAGAAAAUUGUUGUUGAUCCUUGAUCUUAAACAAGCAAACUGUUCUUGAUCCUUGAUCUUAUUCUCCCCUUGAAUAGCAAGCCAAAGAAAUAAUUACCACUUGCCCCAUUUAUCUUCAUCUGAAUAUUUCAUCUUUUCUUCUAGCUCCCAAGGAUUGAAUGGUUUCUUGGAACGAGGGUCAGCAGCCUCAUCCUCCUUCAUGAAAUCAAGAGAGCGCUUGGCACUUGAUGGUUCUGCAGUAGAAGCUUUUGGUUGAAAACCAAGAGGAACAUCUGAGUCAGCAAUGCUAGGAAGAUGGUGAGUAAGUUCAUUGAUUCUCCUUCCCAUGAUCAGAACAGCUUCAGUAAGAGCACCAAUCUAAGUCUGAAUGUCUUGUGCUCAGUCACUGGUCACCUUUUCCAAAGAAUCAAGAUAGACUGCUAUCUUGUUAGGAUCUGAAUCAUUUUCUAGGGGCACCAUAGGACGCCAUGGUUUGCCUUCAUACCAAGUGCCCGGGAAUGUCUUUGCCUUGUGAAACUCUGAAUGAAGCCUUGGAGAGAGAGGUGGAGGAGAAGAUUCAUCUAGAGGAGAGGGCACUGGCCUCCCUAUCCUAUCUAGAGAAAGGUUGGGAAGCAUUGGUUGUUUAUCCUUUGCCAUCAAAUAUCUGAAGUGAUUCCUGCACACAAAAACUGAAAAACCUAGUGAAGAAACUGUGUGGGGAAUGAAAAACUGCAGAGGCACCUCUUUAUAGGAAGGAAUACAGAAGUUGAAAAGGAAUGACGGUUCCUGAAAAGGCAUGCAAUAUCAAUGGACUUUAUUAGCAAUAUUGACUACCAUAACAAAUUUUCUUCAGUUCAAAGCCCAUUCCACAUGUCCACACAAUUUGAAAGACCAGAAAAAGUGGAAAAACAGAUGCAAAUCUCUAUUGCAAUCUUUUAGACUAACUCUGAAUCUCCUCUCAUUAGUGAAGGGAGAAAAUAAUUAAGGCAAAACACACAAUGAAGUAGAAGAAAUUUCUGUGUUGUUCAUAACUAAGCAAAGAUAAGAUCAACAAUCAAUUGUAUCCCUGUGUGUCUCAGCAGAAGUAGAAUUUGAGCCAAGUGACAGUUAGGAAUAGACAUGAAUAUUCUCAGAAAGGAUUCUUAUUUUUAGCAGGAGUUACAAACAACAACCAACUUUGUUCAUAACAACUAAAAAUACCAAGUGAUCAAGCCAUUCCUGUUUCUCCCCCAGUGUCUUAUAUUGUUCAUCACAACCAAGACAUGGUUACUUUAGGAAUAGCCUGGCCUGAAUGUGAGAUUCUUAUGUUUUUAUCUCACAUAUUAUGAACACCUAUAGAGUAAGUCAAAUGCAGCAACUCCCAAAUCAGUUGAUUUUAGGGUACAAGAUAUCCCAAGGCAUCAAUACUCAAGUGUCUGAUCAUUUUAGCCAAACCAGCUUUGAUCAACCUCCAUGCAUAUCAGCUAUUUAAAGAGGCCGCAAAUUUACUGCAAACAAUCAGCUUUUGGUCACAUUCUUUUGCAUUCUCUUAAUCACAUUUCCCUUUUUGCAAUUAUUGUUCCUAUCCCUGAGAAAUAUCAUGUCCAUUGUGUGUGUGUGCUGGCAUCAAAAGGUAUUUCUUGACAAGGCAUACAAGCAUCAAAAAUAUUAACCAGACUCACACCAUAUUUAGUUAUGAACAACCAUCUGAUUUCUACACAUCAUGGAGCUAAGAUCAAUAAUCAAAGACAAACUGUACAUAUGUUAUAAGAACCAUUUCAAGAGUUUAGACAUUAAGAUAGGGAUUUUUGCAAAUGCCUAAAGCAUUUCUGAGUUCUUCAAAUCGAUCGGUAGCAAGGGGUUUAGUGAAAAUAUCACCAAGUUGAUUAGCAGUAGAUAUGUAUUCCAUUUUUAGAAUAUGUUUCUCAACUAGAUCUCUGAUAAAAUGAUACCUGAUAGCAAUGUGCUUAGUCUUCGAGUGUUGCACUGGAUUUUUUGUGAUGUUGAUUGCACUGGUGUUGUCACACAGAUUAGUGUUGUCACACAGAUUAGUGAACUUACCUUGUGACAUCCUAUAGUUCCUUAGCAUAUUUUGCAUCCCCAACAUUUGAGUACAGCAGCUACCAGCUGCUACAUAUUCUGACUCAGUUGUAGACAAAGAUAUACAAUUUUGCUUUUUGCUAUGCCAAGCAACCAUAUUGUUUCCCAAGAAAAAACAUCCACAUGAUGUGCUCUUGUUAUCUUUAAGACUUCCUCCCCAAUCAACAUCUGAAUAACUAACAAUCUCUGCAUUAGUAUCACAAGUAUAUCUAAUUCCACAUGAAACUGUACCUGACACACAUCGAAUGAUUCUCUUGACUGCAGCUAAGUGUGAUUCUUUUGGAUUUGCUUGAAAUCUUGCACACACCCCAAGACUGAAUGAAAUGUCUGGUCUGCUUGCAGUGAGGUAAAGAAGACUGCCUAUCAUGCUUUGAUAUAAGGUUUGAUCUACUGGUUUCUCUUCUUUAUCAUGACAAAGUUUGACUGAAACACUUAUUGGAUUUGAAAUGCACUUCUUUGUUUCAAGACCAAACUUCUUCACCAAGUUCUCAGCAUACUUUGUUUGAGAUAAAAACAUUCUUGUAUCAUGUUGCUUUAUUUGAAGGCCAAGAAAAUAUAUUAAUUCACCACACAUGCUCAUUUCAAAUUCAUUGGUCAUAACAGAAGUAAACUGUUGGACCAAAGAAUCUGAAGUAGAGCCAAAAACAAUAUGAUCAACAUAUACUUGAGCAACCAUAAAAUGUUCUUUUUCAGUACGCACAAACAGUGUUUUAUCAACUUUACCUCUUGCAUAUCCUUUACCUACCAAAUAUGUAGAUAACUUGUCAUACCAUGCCUUGGAGCUUGUUUGAGACCAUACAAGGCUUUCUUUAGCUUGUACACAUGAUUAGGAUGAUGUGGAUCUUGAAAACCUUUAGGUUGUUCCACAAAGACUUCCCUCCUCUAGAAGACCAUUUAAGAAUGCAGUUUUGACAUCCAUUUGAUAGAGCUUGAAUCCUAGAUGACAUGCUAUUGCUAGUAGUAAUCUUAUGGAUUUAAGUCUAGCUAUUGGUGCAAAAGUCUCAUCAAAAUCCAAACCUUCAACUUGUGAGUAUCCUUGACCCACUAGCCUGGCUUUGUUUCUCACAACAUUUCCAUGCUCAUCACUUUUAUUUCUGUAGAUCCAUUUAGUUCCUACCACAUUUCUUGUUGUUGGUCUAGGAACUGGAUCCCACACUUGAUUUCUUGUGAACUGAAGCAAUUCCUCUUCCAUUGCCUUGAUCCAGUUAUCAUCUGUAAGAGCUUCCUUCACAUUCUUAGGUUCAAUUAGUGAGACAAAACCAAAAUGAGAAAUAAUAUUGAUAUUUCCUUGAUUUUGAUUUAGAAAACAUACCAAUGUUGCAUCCUUAAUUACCUCUCCUUAAGUUGCUCGUCUUCUGGUUAUAAUUCCUUCUUGCAUGUUUCCAAUAACAUCUAUCAUAGAAUGAUCCUUUUUUACUUGUCUAAAACCAGUUCUUGUUUUAGGCACUUGUUGGAGAUUUGAAUCAAUAGACUCAUCAGCUUCACUUCCAGUUUCAGCCUUACCAUUUAACUCAGUUUGAUCAUGAUCGGUAGUUUGACUGUCAUCUAAUAUUAUCUGUCUAUCAAAAAAUUCAUCCACAUACACAUUAAUAGAGACUAGGAAAGAUUUUGUUUCUUGUACACCCUAUAAGCUCGGCUAUUUAAGGAAUAUCCCAGAAAAAUACCAAUUUCACUUCUUGUUUCAAAUUUUCCCAAAUAUUGUCUAUCCUUGAAAAUGUAACAUGGAUUUCCAAAAACAUGCAAAUGACUUACAUUGGGUUUCUUACCUUUCCACAGCUCAUAGGGAGUAUUGUUGGUGCCAGGUCUGAGCAUUACCCUAUUUAUGAUAUAGCAUGCUGUGUUGAUUGCCUCAGCCCAAAUUUUUUGACUCAGUCCAGAAGAGUGCAACAUCACUCUUGCCAUGUCCAGUAGAGCUCUAUUUUUUCUUUCAACAAUACCAUUCUAUUGUGGAGUAGUAGGAGCUGAAAAGUUUCACCUUUAUCUGCAAGAAAAUAUACCCACGUAAAUCUUGUAAAAUCAUCAACAACAACCAAAAUAUAGCUCUUUCCUAUAUGACUUUCAUAUUGAGAUGGACCCAUUAGAUCCAUGUGCAGUAGCUCCAUUGCUUGAGAUGUAGGAAUUGAGUUGAUACUUUUAUAUGCAGAUCUUAACUGUUUCCCCAUUUUACAUCCUCCACAGAUUUUAUCUGUUCUAUCUCUGAGUUUUGGCAUGCCUCUUACAAUUCCUUGAUUUGACAAUUUUAACAAGUCCUGAAAGUUUACAUGACCAAGUCUUCUAUGCCAAAGAUCAAAAAUUUCCUCUGUGGAACUUGUUCCCAUACACAUCUGCACAUCAGGUGAAUCAUUAGCUAAUACAUGAUAUGACACGACCCACCCCGAAUUUCACCCUGAAACCCGGAGUAAGUCGUGCGGGGACCAUCUCCAAGGAAAAUUUACUGAAAAGAUUGAUAAAAUCUCCCUUGAAAAUGGACAACCCUAACUCGAAAAUUUCAAAAUACACUCUUAAUACAACACGUCCAAACAUCAUAUAAUUAACCUUCAGAAAUUCUAAACAUAAAAUACAGUAAUCCCAAAGUAUUCAGAGCUACUAGACACUAGCGGAAGCGAGAAAACACGAGUAGGUUAAACAUGUAACCUACUGAUGAAAACUGGCGGAAAUACGGGUGACUAUGCCUCGCCUCCUACUAGAUCCAACCCGAACUCUGCAGACUGGGCAAUUUAAAACGAAGAGCCCAGGGGAAAACAUGUGGAACAGUUAGAGUGAGUGGACAAAAAUAAAUUAAAAUAAAAGUAUUUCUUUAUGCUUCCCCAAUUUAAUUUCCAAAUAAAAUAAUACUGCAUGCAAUCGCUCAAAAGCGCUCAACUCAAAAACUGGCAACUUCACAACCAGCACCGGCUAGUCUCCAAAACUUAAUAAAAUACAGCAUCUCAAGCUAAAUUAUAUAUAAACAUAUAUAAGUGUAUGUAUUUACACUAGUCAGACUCCUUGUAUGAAUUCUAAAAACAAAUUAGAAAAAUAGAAAUUCAUAGAAGGUUACUAAGCUUGCGUCUAACGCUCACGUCACACCAUAAUGGAAUUGUAUCUCAGUAUGGCGAAAAAAGCACGAGUGUAUAUAUGUGUGGACUCCCUAUAUGAAAACCUAAAUAAACCAAAUAAGAAAAUAGUUUUCAUAUAGGGCUACUACGCUUGUGUCUAACACUCACGUCACACCAUAAUGGUAUUUUACCUCAUUAUGGCGGAUCAAACACGUAUGGCUAGCUAGCAUUUAUAUAUACAUACUAUCAUCAUAAACAUCCAAUAAACAUAUCCACCGAAAAUCUCAUUUUCGGGAUCUCUCCAAAGGAGGAAAAUUGCCAAAUAUCCGAGAAAUAAAUAAAUCUCAGGAAAAGAAAUAAAUGAUCAACAGAUAAUUCAUCGCAUGCUUUUCAAUUAAAAUAAAGGUCCACUCACAACUUAGGCCUAAGCCUGAUGACGCUCCGAGGCUUCCUCUGCUCGGGCCUCCUCUCGUCCUGUUCCAAAUAUAUAAUUAAUUUCCCACCAAAAAUCCAAUAAUUAAACAAAAUGGGCAAAAUUAAACGUGAGCCUCCCACACACUCAUCAUUGCCCAAAUUCGCCAUUCUUAACUCAAUACGGCUCAAACUUCGCCGAACAUACCGGCAGCCGUAAAAACAACUUCCCACAGAAUACGACUUAAAUCCUACGGCCGGAUUCUACAUUAAUUAACCGUCAAAAAAUACCAAAGUAAAUAACCGUAAAAUAACUUAAGAACCGGGGUGUGACAUGAUAACAAUUAUCAACUGAUCUAACUCCACCCAUUAUGUAGUCUCUCUUGUUGUUCAGAACUUGACACUUCUUUUUGUUGAACCAAACAUCUUCAAAAUCAUUUGUCAGUUGACUAAAACUCAGUAAAUUUGUAUUCAAACCUUCAACAUACAAUACAUUUUCAAGGUUUGGAAUGUUUGGUGUGUUGACAAUCCAUUUUCCUUUGAUUCCUGCUUGUCCUCCAUCACCAAAUGUAAUAGUACCUGAAAUAUUUCUGUUAGUGAAAGAAAUAAACCAUUCUUUGUUACCACACAUGUGUCUUGAACACUCACUGUCUAUGUACCACACAUCACUCUUUUUGCUGGAUAAAGCAGUCAAUGCAACUAAGCAGGUUGCCAUAAUAUGAGUUUCAUUUGAGUAGACAGAUGCACUCAGGCAAAAAGCUUGUAUUUCUUCCUUCUCUUCAUUCCUUGUCCAGCAUUUCACUCCUCUUCUUUCCUGCAUUCUUUCUUCAUAAAUCAUGUUAGACAUUUGACGAAUAAGGUUCAUACGUUCAUUCAUUUCUUUAUGUAGAAUUUCAAAUUUAUCACCCUUAGCAGUAUAUUGAGAAGAUCCAUUUAUGCAAUUUGGUCUGAUAUGACCAAUCUGUCCAUAGUGAUAACAAGUAAGAACAAAAGGUUUCCUCGAAACAUACCUUUUCUCAGUCGAUUUAGGAAUGACUAUUUUUACUUGUUGUUUUUCUUCAGUUUCCAACACUAGUUGUUCUUCCCCUUUUUCUUUAACAAACCUUGUGACAUUGGAGCUUUCACCAGUGUAUCCAAGUCCAAAUGUAUCCUUAUGUGCUUUUCCUAUACUGAGAAUAUUUGAGACUAUCUUUGAACUUGUUUGAAAUUGACUAAAUUUUUCCCUUGACUUUCUCAACUCAGCCUGCAACAAAACAAUUUCAGAGUUUAGCUCAUUAAUUUUCAAAUCUCUUAACUCUAUUUUAGAUUCUAAAUUUACACAACUACUGCUAAUGAACCAGUGUUUUUGAUAUUUUCAUUCUUCAACUCAGUUUGCAACUUUUGAAUACUGUUGUUGAACUCAUUUCUUUCAUUUUCCCAAAACUCCUAUUCAGACUGCAAUAUGUUUUCAGUUUUCUCUUGCUGUUCUGGUUCCUGGAGAACCUUCACCUGUUUCUUCAAGACAUUAUUCUUGUUGUUCAAGAUUUUUGAGGCAUUGUACAAUUGAUCAUAUUUGUCGUCUAGUUUCCUCCUGUCAAAAAAAUCAUCACUAGAAUCAUCAUCACUAGAACACACACUGUCAGUAUCAGAAAAAGACUCACAUGAGUCAAAUCUUAUAGAAGAAACGAAAGCAAAGUUCCUUUCUCCUUUUCUGAGGGAAUGUUCUUCAUCACUAUCACUCUAGGAAGUAGCUUUGAGUGCCCUUUUUUCACCAGUGCCCCUAUCCUUGAAUUUUUCACCUGCUUCAUUCUUUCUAUUCCCACAAUCAGUUGAAAUAUGACCAUAACCAUCACAUUCAAAGCAUUUCGGUCUAUAAUUCUUCAUUUCAAGCUUGUUAUGACUUCUAGAGUUUUUCUCAAAUCGAUUUUCAGAAUUUUUAUUUCUUCUUGAAUCAUGAAAGUUUUUAGAAGAACUAGAAUUUUGAUUGUUCCUAGAUUUCAAAAGUUUUUUGAAUUCCUUUGUGAGCAAAGCAUAAUCAAUAUUUUCAUCUUCCUGAUCAAUUUUAGAAGAGUUUUUCAAAGCCACACUCUUCUGUUUCUUAUCAGACCAAGAGCUAUCAGCAAUCAUUUUUAAUUCAAAGGUUUUAAGAUUACUUACUAAAUAUUCCAGAGAAUAUUUAUUUAAAUUGUGUACCUCCAUGAUAGCUGCCUUCUUGGGAAGGUACUUCCUUGGCAAAGCUCUAAGAAAUUUUUUCACCACCUUGUGCUCCUCAAACGGUUCAUUCAAGCUCUGACAUUGACCUAUAAUGUUAGUUACCCUUAAAUAAAAAUCAUUAAGCAACUCAUCCUCACCCAUUUUUAAAUUUUCAAAUUCUUUAGCAAGAAUCUGAAGUUUCUGGAUUUUGACAAUCUCACAUCCUUCAUGUGAAGUAACAAGCAUGUCCCAAGCUUCCUUUGCAGUGUCACAGUAUUGAAUACGCCUUCUUUCCUUAACACCAAGUGCAGUGAAUAAUGCAUUUUUAGCAACAUAAUCAGCAUUACAUAAGGCUUGCUCAUCUGCUGACCACAAGUCGACUGGUUUUAAUUGAACUCUAGAUGUAUUCUCUGAUUUCACAACUGGAGCUUUGUAACCUGAUUGAAUAAUUUUCCAUGCCUUUGCAUCCAAGGUGUAUAUGAAUGUUCUCAUCAUGAUCUUCCACUGUGGAAAAUCAUCACCAUCAAAUUUUAGAGGUUGAUUUACUGCAUUUCUUUCCAUUUCAAAAGUGGAUCUACUAGACACUUACUAGCACUUGCUCUGGUACCAAAUAUUAGUAUAGAAAUGGAUCAAACACAGAUAGAACAAGUAAUUUCAAUGGUUUGGUGCAAAACCUCAACGAGGGAAAAAACACCAAGCAAGAUUAUUCCUUUAAUCUUCAAAAAGACUACAAGUCGUAAUUCUCACACAAUUACACAACUCAUACAAUGUUCUCUCUUCUUCUCACACAAGUAACUUAAUUCAAGUAGCUCUAUCAAGAGAAACUGAAUUAAAAUUCUGAGAUCUCACUCACUCAGCUAUACUAGUUCUCACACAACUAAUACAUACUGCAACUAAUUCUCAUACAAUUAGUUUUUAUGCAGUAGCAACUAAGACUCAAACACUCUUAGUUCUUCUCUCAAAAUUUAUCACACAUCAAGAUGAUAGUUUGAUGAACAGCUUGGUUCUUUAACACAACCAGUUUCUCAGCUUCAUUUAGACUUGGCUUCUCAGUAAGCUUUUGUUCUCAAAACUCAGAUGCAACUUGUAUGCAAGUAAGAAAAGAGAAACUCAGUCUAUCUUAGAUAUACACAAGUAGUUUGUAAGAUGACCAUGAACACACAAUCAACUCAAAGACAAUGCUUAACACAGUUUUUUCUCAAUCAUACCAAAAAGCUUAUCUUUCUAAACACAGUAGAAGCAAUUUAUAGAGUGUGAAACACUCCCACUUAACUGAUGCCUUUCAAUAACAAGAUCAAAUUUCGUUUAUGAAAAUAUGCAAUCAGUCCACCAACACUUUGCACUUUCCAAAACGCAUAUACUAGUUUCAUGCUAUAACAUAGCCAUUAGAUAAAACAUAAAUCAUUUUCUUAAUCACCUGAGAACAAUGAUUAUGCAUAUAGAAUCAGACAUGUUUAUGCAAGUACUGAUAUGGACAUUACUGAUAUGGAAAUAAGAUAUCCUGCAUAUUAUCAAUUAAUGUUCCUGAAAUGGAAGUCUUUAGAAAUAAGACUUUUCCAAAAUUUCAUCAUUCAAAAACUUAUCAACUUGAAAGCCAGAUCUACUUACCAUAUAUGAGAUGUUAAAAUCUCAUUACCUUGAUCUUUUGACAUGAUACCUUUGAUUAUGUCUUUGAUCUAGACUUUAUGAUUUUUCCUGGUAUGAAAUCUUCUUUCCUCUUUUCCUUCCUUCAUUAGGAGUCCUUGUGUUGAAUAGGAAUAGCCAAUAUACCAACAUUCUCCCCCUUUGGCAUCGCUAUUCAACACAAGAUCAAGACCUGUAAAACAGACACAAAACCAACAUAUAUAUACAGAACGGAAAGCAGGCUUGAAGAUUUUCGAAUCAGUUUCCAUCAUUUUCUCCAUCUUCAAGAUAAAAAUCAAAAGAAGACACAAAAUAAUAAAUGACUGCAUGCAUAGUUCAAAGAAAACACAAAAUAUGUCAAGUGCUUAGGCACUUUUACAAACCAGAAAUAAGAUUUGAUGUUCUAGUCAUCAAAAAUCAAAAAGCAGAAAACUUAAAAUAGACUCUACCAGGCUCUAAGCUGCUUCCGCCAUUGUCUAACACUUAUAAUAGAUUUAUAUUGUGAAAUAGUUUCUCUCUAACUCAAAAAGAAGUUGAGCUAAAAUAAGAUUGCACCUAAAACCUGUUCUAUUUUCAUUCAGCUGAUCAAGUGGAUCCGGUAGCCCACUUGUCUUUGGAAGAGGAGAGGAGCACGCGCAAUGAAGGCUAAAGAAAGAAACACACCAAUUCAAAAAGGACAAAAUAUUCUUCAAAAUAAGUUUGCAUUCUUCCAAAGGCGAGUGAUUUUUUUUUUCCUAACCUGACGAUGAUAGAUACGACGAGGAGAGUGUUGAAAUUUCCAGAUAUGAGAUUGCCGCAACAACAUCAGUGAUAUCGUCAUCUUCGGGGAAAGAAUCGAUCUGCAAUAAAAAUUGGGGGAGAUGGCUGAGUAGGUGAUGGUCGAGGGCUGAGUGAGAGAGAAGGGAGGGCUCGCGCAGGUGUUAAGGAGAGAGAGUUGAAGGGCUAAGGAGUUUGUUGGGAGAAAGAGGCUGGGGAUUUUUGGGAGAGACCGAUGAGAAAGCUGAGAGGCACGGUGGAAUGAACUAGAUUGUUAAAUGUGGGUUGAAUGGUUGAGAGAGAAAUAUGUUUUGGUUGCGCUGUUGAGGUUUUGGUUGGGUUGUAGUUUUUUUUUGUUUUGUUUAAGUGUUAGGGGAGAAUUUAAUUUUGGGCUGAAAUAUAGGGGAAGGUUUGAGCACAUCAAUAUUUCAGACAAGCGCCAAUUAAUUGGCAUUCAUUUCGACAAGUAAUCACAUGACGUAACAACUAUAAACGUGGUUUGAUGGCCAAAAUUUUAGGUUUCAAUAUUCCCUCCAUCACAUUUCGUGUUCCUUCUUACAAGUUUGGGGCUGAAUUUGGGGGAAUGUUGGAGGGAAAUAUUGGCGGACAUGGUUUUGCUGAAAAUACACACAAUUACACCAUAGUUUUUAUACGAAACGUCGUAUCACUCUUACAUGUUGGACACCUUACAACUUAGGAAGGUUGAUGCUCAAAUUUUUACACAUUCACACCACGAUUUCUAAAGAAACUGACAUCUAAAAAGUUAAAAAUUAGUCACACAACGGGUUCUCACUAUACAUCGUCUGAUAGACAUUGUCUGAUGCUGGUUUUUGUGGUAGUACUUGACAAAAUCGAUGAAGCUUGAUGGGGGGUGAGUACUCCUACUAAUACCCAAGAAAAAUUAUAAAAUGAACUAAGGACAUGGAAGGAGAGGAAGAAUGGAAUGAUGGUGAGGAGAAGGGAAGGGUGUGUGCGGCCGACUCCCAGAGAGAAAGAAUGAGAUAAUAGGUCAUGGCGUGGUUUAGCACCUUCAGCUUUGCAUUUGAGGGAAACAAGGUGCCAUGUGGCAGCUUGUCAUUGGUUGAGCUUGAGAGAAAUUGCACCUUGUGCACGUGAUGGAGAAGAUGGUCAAUUAAAUGAUCAAUUAAACAUCUGGGGCAUGUUUACUUACAUGGAAUGAAAUUGAAAAGUGAGGGAAUAAUUCUGGCAGAGGAGAAUUCCAGCGUUUACUUACACAUAAUAGAAUUGGAAUGGGUGUGGGUCCCACCUCCUAAUAAAGAAUUGAUUCCUUGACAACCCUGAAUUGAAAUACCAAGGGGGGAGGUGGGAUUAAGAAUGAUACCAUCAGGAAUGAACUUUUAUUCCGAAAAUAUCCUCUUUAAUUUUAUAUGCUAAUAAUAUUGAGGAAUUUGUUUAAGAUGCU
Molecule: long non-coding RNA, 83094 nt
Filed under: Fragaria vesca (wild strawberry)
Lineage: Eukaryota; Viridiplantae; Streptophyta; Magnoliopsida; Rosales; Rosaceae
Description: long non-coding RNA (FVES_LNC003682)
Source: RNAcentral